CCAGGGACAGAGCUAAAGGGACGGGUAAAAUUAGAAACUAUAAAACUAGAAACUCCAACUACUCGCUAUAUGGCUGUUAAUUAGAUAAAAUUAGCUAGACACUGGCUCUAAACUUAUGGUAAAAGCCUUAGACUAAAACUUAUGCGAAUUCGAUAAUACAUUAAGUUAGAUAUAGCUAGACACUCGCUAUAUGGUUUUAGUCUAAGCUUAUUAAAAGCUUUGGACUAGCUACAACAUCUUCAUAUCUUGCAAGAGGAGGUGGAUAUGGAGUAUAGCUAGACACUGCUUCCUUCGUAGGCACAAAAGUCUGCUUGGCGAAUGAAGUUGACGCCAUUGACUAUAUUCCUUUUGUUUUUCAGUAUUCCACCCUUGACAAACCCUUCACUGUUCAAACCACCAACAAUAUCAACCAUUAGCUGUCAUUUUAUUACUGCUCUAUAGACUUAAAUGCAUGCGAAGAAAAAAAAUAUCCAAAGAAUGAAGUCAGAGUAAAAGAAACCCUACCAAGCCAAAACUAAAAGAAAACAAAGGCUAGCAUGCACAACAAGAAGAAAAGCCGAUGACUGAAGAGAAAAGCAGACAAUGCAAAAAGUAAAGGCAAAGAUAGGGAAUAUAUUGAAAGAGAAGUAAACAAGUAACAGAGUACUAUUACUACUUUCCCCUUUCCCUUUUCCCAUUUCUUUUACUACUAUUUUAUUACUAUAUUUUCAAUUUUUCUCUCUUCUACAAUAUUACGUCCAAUGAUUUAGUGAGAGCGAAAGUGAUUCAAAAUCAGUAAAAGCCAAAAUCCAAAUCCAAAUACCUUUUGGGGCCAUUGCUUGCUGCUUCCUCAAACCCUUCUAAAUUCUAAACAAUAAAUGAAUUGCAGACAAAAAAAAAAUUAGAAAAUAGCAUUAAAUAAUUAGUAAAGAAUAGAAUGAUGUGACAACCCUUUCCCCGUUCCACGAAAAUUAAUUUUUCAAAAUUCUGUUUGAAUGAAGAUAAUAUCCAACUAACAAUUAUAACUCAAUUAUUCAAAAUUUGUCUGGAUUAUGCAAAGUAUCGUAAAGAAUCAUCGCACACUCUAACCUCACCAACCUGACAAUUUAAUCUAGAUGGUGAAUGAGCUAAUUUAUUACAAUCCCUUUUCAUAUAAUUAAAAAUAACCUUACGACAAUCGAGGACUAUAUCAUGAAGAUCAAGAACCAAAGUACCCCUGUCCCAGCAUGGUUCGUCCCUUUUCUCAAUUUCCUGUUUUGCUAGCUGUUAGAGUAUUCAAUGAAUGUGACUAAAAGCACGUGUUAAAAAGUUGUUAAGUAGUUAAGCAGUUAGUCAGUUUGGUGUCAGUUACAGCUCAUGCUACACUGCUAUAUGUUUGUAUAAAUACCUAGCCAUUCUGCAUGGCUAAACGCAAGAUAUAUGAAAGGAAUUAUUUUUCUCAUUUCUUGUUCUUUGUAUAAGUCUAAUAUGGUAUCAGUUGUAAGUUCUUUCCUGGCGUUUCUUUCUUCUUAACGGCUGUGCAGAUUUCUUGGUUGAUAUGGCUGCUAGCUCCUCUGAUGGAUUGCUUGACAGCAGGUUCUUCUCUACAAAGAAGAUUAGCGUUCUACUUGAUGAUAAUACGUAUUUGUUAUGGAAGCAGCAGGUUCUCUUGGCGGUAAAAGCGCAUAAGCUUCAGUGUUUUUUGGAUGUUCAACAGACUCUUCCUCCACAGUUUAUUUCUGAUGACAGUGGCGGUCAACAUGAAAACCCAGAAUUUGAACGCUUUGAGCAGCAGGACAGUGCCCUUGCGUCAUGGUUAUUGUCUUCCAUUAGUCAGGCAGUUCUUCCGCAUUUGAUAGGUAUGGACACCAGUGCCAAAAUCUGGAAUGCUGUCGUUACUUUGUUUGGCAGUAAAACCACAUCUAAACUGAUGUUUUAUCGACGAAACUUGCACUCUCAACAAAAAGGAGAUUUGAACAUGAAAGAAUUUUUGAUGAAAAUUAAAAGUUGUUGUGAUAAUCUUGCUAGUUGCGGUGAAGUCAUUAGUGAGCGUGAGCAUGUGACGGCGAUUCUUAAUGGUCUUCCUCCUGAAUACGAAUCUGUUAUCUCUAUUGUUACAGCCAGUCAAGUGCCCUACACAGUACAAGGAGUGGUGUCAAUGCUUCUUGAUGCUGAAACUCGGUAACAGGUGGUCAGUAGUGAUAUCUCUGGUUCUGCUAAUCUUGUGUCUCAUCAACCUUCUGAAUCUGUUGAUUCUAAUGGUUCUAUGCCUGCUUAUCGACCCUCAAAUGCAACUCGGGGGCGUGGUCGAGGACGUUAUUCUAACUCAAAAAUUCAGUGUCAAUUAUGUGGAAAACCUGGUCAUCUUGUUGAUCGGUGUUAUCAUCGGUUUGAUUCAACUUACAAGAGCAAUAAUUACAGGCCUCCCCCACAAGUCAAUAUGUGCGUGGCCGGUCCUUCUGUGAUAACAUGGCCUCCCUCCUCGCCAAGUGCACAAUGGAGUACACCAGGUUGGUGUUUUUCUACUCCGCCCUCAUCUUGGUCUAACCCGUUUGUUGGAAGUUUUUCACAACAGGUCAGCACGCCAGUCUCUGGUGCAACACAGUCUCAAGCAUAUUUGGCAACUCCAGAAACAGUAGCCGACAACUCUUGGUAUCCGGAUUCUGGUGCCACCCAUCAUCUCACAAAUUCGGUUACUUCCAUUGGAGAAGGUGGUGCAUACAAAGGGCCAGGUAAGGUAUUUGUAGGCAAUGGUUCAGCUCUCCCUGUUAUGUCUACUGGGCAAUCAUCCUUACUUACUCGGUCUAGACCACUGUUCAUGAGGUCCUUAUUGCUAGUUCCUGGAAUUACUAAGAAUCUUUUAUCAGUAUCCAAGUUUGCCAAAGACAAUCAAGUGAUGUUUGAGUUUUUCCCUACUCAGUGUCAGGUGCGUGAUCUGUGGACUAGAGAAGUUCUUCUUCGAAGCUCAGAGCAUCAGGGGUUAUAUCGGCUUCAUCUUAACAAGUCUACAGCAGCUCCUGUAUCCUCCACAUCUGCUCAAUGUUUUACAACUACUAUGAAGCUUCCUCUUAGUGUUUGGCACUCUAGGCUAGGACAUCCAUGUCAAGCUGUUCUUACUAAGGCACUUGCACGUUGUAAUAUACAAGCUAUCGAUAUUAAUAAAAUGGUUGAUUGUAUUGCUUGUCAUCUGGGUAAGGAGCGUAAACUCCCGUUUAUCAAGUCCAGCACUGUUUAUACUGCUCCACUACAAUUGGUUGUUGCAGAUGUUUGGGGGCCAGCUCCGGUUGUGUCUAAUGGAUUUCGCUAUUAUGUUGCAUUUACUGAUGCUUACUCACGCUAUACAUGGCUCUAUUUUUUGAAGAACAAAUCUGAUGUUGCUAGUAUUUUUCCACAGUUCCAUUGCCAAGCUGAGAGAGUGUUAGGUGCAAAACUCAAAGUUCUGCAAACAGAUGGGGGAGGGGAGUUUCAAGUGCUGAAAAAUUAUUUAGUUCAGCAAGGAAUUCUGCAUCGCUUCACCUGUCCAUACACGUCUACUCAAAAUGGACUUGUUGAACGCAAGCAUCGACAGGUGGUUGAAACAGGCUUGCCUAUGUUGGCUCAUGCCACCAUGCCAUUAAGUUUCUGGAAUGAAGCCUUCUGUAGUGCUGUCUUUCUGGUCAACCGAUUACCAUCUCAACCUCUAGGUAAUAUAUCCCCAUAUGAACAAUUGUUUAAAACAAAACCUGAUUAUUCUUUUCUUCGAACUUUUGGCUGCUUGUGCUUUCCAAAUCUUAGGCCUUUCACAAAAAUAAAGCUGCAAUUUCGGUCAACACCCUGUGUUUUUCUUGGCUAAUCACCUGCUUACAAAGGCUACAAGUGUCGUGACUCCACUGGUAAAAUCUACAUCACUCGUCAUGUCACUUUUAAUGAAGACAAAUUUCCUUACGAAGCAUUUUGUUCAAAAACAACCACAUCUCCCUCGGUCUCACAAGCUACCAAACUUCUUGUCCUAAGUCCUAGACCUGUCAAUUGCACCAACAUCUUACCUACUGUAAUGCCUAGCAGUACUUCUCUUACACCUAGAUCAUCCCCUAGUAGUCCUACUCAUACACCUAGGCCACCUACUAGACCCGUCACACCCACUACAACUCCCACACCAAUUGGUACACAUGACACGUGUUCCUCUAUACCACAAGUCCUACCUAAUUCACCUUUGACUUCCAGGUCGUCUUUAUCUUCUCAGUUACAACCCAUUCCUACACCUUUAAACACCCACUUCAUGGUUACCAGAAGCAAGGCCAGGGUUUUCAAGCCAAAGAUAUAUCUCAGUAUGGCAUCGUCUUCUUCAAAUGAAGUCCCCUCUGACAUACAUGCCGCAAUGCAAUGUGUAAGUUGGCAGACAGCAAUUUAUAGUGAAUUACAGGCCUUGGUCCGCAAUAACACCUAGACUCUUUGCCCAUUGCCUGAAAAUAGAAGAGCAGUUGGGUGUAAAUGGCUAUUUAAAGUAAAACGGAAGGCUGAUGGUUCUAUCGAUCGGUACAAGGCACGUUUAGUUGCAAAGGGAUUCUCACAACAUGCAGGACUUGAUUUUCAUGAUACUUUCAGUCCAGUUGUUCGAGCCUCUACCAUUCGCACCAUCCUUGCACUUGCUGUUAUGCAGAAGUGGGCGUUACAGCAAGUAGAUAUCAACAAUGCCUUUCUUAAUGGCGAGCUUACUGAAGAAAUAUACAUGGAGCAGCCUCCUGGGUUUGAAGUGUCGGGUGCAGGUGGUCAGCAGCUUGUGUGCAAGCUGAAUAAAGCCAUCUAUGGCUUGCGACAAGCCCCUCGUGCAUGGUUCCAUACGCUCAAGAAGUAUCUGGUCACUCAACUUGACUUCCAUGCAUCAAAAGCUGACUCGUCAUUGUUUAUCCGACAGUCUACUGGAAAUCAUCUUCUGCUCAUGGUGUAUGUUGAUGACAUUGUGAUCACUGGCAGUCGAGUGCAAGAUAUUGAUGAUGUGGUGCGUCGUCUUCAUAACAAAUUUGCACUCAAGGACAUGGGAGACCUCAGUUUUUUCUUGGGCAUUGAUGUUCACCGUACACCUCAUGGAAUGCAUCUUAGUCAUAAGAAGUAUGUCCUGGAGCUCCUUCAAAGGGCCGGAAUGACCGGGGCAACAUCUACACCAACACCCAUGGUGAGCACUCCCAAGCUGGUUAUCUCAGAUGGAAGUUCACUGUUCCCUGAUGUUCAUUUAUAUAGAAGCAUAGUAGGUAUGCUUCAAUAUGUCUGCAUUACUCGCCCUGAUCUGUUCUUUUGUGUCAACAAACUAAGUCAGUAUAUGAGUUCCCCAAGUGACAUCCAUUGGAAAGCCAUUAAACGGGUCUUGCGAUAUUUGGCCGGCACCAGAGACUAUGGUUUGUGUUUUACAGCAAGCUCGUUAGAUCUUGUGUGCUAUGUCGAUGCCGACUGGGCCUCCUCUGUGGAAGACAGACGAUCCACGUCCGGAUAUGUGGUAUACUUAGGCGCCAAUCCUGUUGCCUGGUGCUCCAAGAAGCAGUCGAUGGUAUCUCGAUCAUCUGCUGAAGCAGAAUAUCGCAGCCUAGCCAAUUGUGUGUCCGAACUGCUGUGGAUACAACAACUGCUCAAUGAAGUGGGCAUACCUCAGUCUAAAAUACCCAUUGUCUGGUGCGAUAAUUCCUCUGUCGUUGCAGUUGCUGAAAAUCCCACACAUCAUGCUAAGAUGAAGCAUGUUGAAAUAGACCAUCACUUUGUUCGUGAAAAGGUUGUUGCUGGGCUGCUCCAAGUUCGCUAUGUUCCAUCCGAUCAGCAGAUUGCUGAUGUUCUCACAAAACCAGUUACCCCCAAACAGUUUCCAUUCUUUAGACGUGCUCUUCAAGUGUUGUCUUUUGAUGAGUUUAAGAAAUCAAACAAGUUAGGGGAAUGUUAGAGUAUUCAAUGAAUGUGACUAAAAGCACGUGUUAAAAAGUUGUUAAGUAGUUAAGCAGUUAGUCAGUUUGGUGUCAGUUACAGCUCAUGCUACACUGCUACGUGUUUGUAUAAAUACCUAGCCAUUCUGCAUGGCUAAACGCAAGAUAUAUGAAAGGAAUUAUUUUUCUCAUUUCUUGUUCUUUGUAUAAGUCUAAUACUAGCAAGGAAUCCGAUUCUACCUAUAAGCUGGUAAAACAUUUAAAAACAGCCACCUCUAAUCCCUCCUGAAUAGAACAAACUGCUACAUUUCCAACUUUCGGAACAGCCGCACAAGUUACACAACCAUGGUCAGCUCGUAUAAAUAUUCCUAAGUCAGUCUCUUGCUUCCUUCUAUCAAAACCGGCAUCCACAUUUAGCUUGAAAAAGCUUCUCUAUGUGGCUGUAUCCAUCUCUCCUGCUAAUGCAGUCCUUGUCGAGACCGUGUUUCUUCUGAAUGACCAAACACCUGCCUAAAAAGUUUUAUUUCUAUUGAACCAACAGUGGCAUAGGAUAAUCAUGCUCCUCUCAACCCAUUUCAAAUUACGAAUCAGCAGUCACCUGCAUAAAGUUAUCCCAAAAUUUAGACUCACCAGUAACUAAGUCAAAUUCACCGGCAAGUUAGGACAGAUGCAAUUCCAAAAUCUUCUUCUCAAGCAACAUUCAAACAACACAUGCCAUCCCAAAGUUGCUCGGAAGAAUCCCUUUGAAUAACCUCCAAUGAAACACUUUAAUCAUUGGUAUAACUUUGGAUGGCCACAAUAGUUUCCAAAGAUCUCUACCCCGAUUCUGAUCCUCUACCAACUGGCCAUUAAUCUUUCUUGCCACAAAGAAUGUUGAUUUCACGGUGAAAAUACUCCUACGUAGAUGAAGAAAUUUUCGGAUCAAUUAUAAAAACUUCUUAUUCAAUUUUGAAGUUGCUCUCUUAUCUUAUUCAGCCAAUUUAAAAAAGACAAAACUCAUUUUUGAAUUGAGAAUAACACCGCAACCAUCAGUUAGUUGCUCUCUAAUCUUGUUCAACCAGACAUAAAAAAAAGGUAAACACAUUUUUAAGAUAAAAUCUAAAAGACCUUUGAAGUGUAAUUAUCCAUCCAAUAUCAUGUCUCAAAGACCAUAAUUGGAUCAAAACUAUCCCAAUCCUUUUGUAUAUAAAGGUGAUAAAAUAUGUUUUCAACAUUAAAUUUGACAACCCUUAAAGCAGACUUAACUACUCUAAAAUCAAGUUUUGAAGAUUUUUGGAUUCUCCAAACUCAUUUUUAGGAUCAAGCCUAAAAACUUUUGAAUCAAACCUCAUUGAUUCAAGAGUAAGUUUUGAAGACCCUUGAGUCUAAAGAAAAUCAAAAUUUUCAAGCAAACAUCUCUACAAAUCUAGUUUCAAGAUCAAAUCUCAAAGACACUUGAAGCGUAAUCAUUCAUACAUAAUUUAAAAUUACAUGUUGAAAAUUUAAACAUUGAAAACUUAAGUACUGAAUUUAAGUUAUAAAAUUUAUUUGUAUAUUACUUAAAAUUAGGUACACAAUAUAAUUAUAUUGUUUGAUGGAUGUAAAUUUUAAUUAUAAUAAAUUUUUAAGUUAAAAUUUAAACUUCAAUUUUUUAAAGGGUAAUAUAAGUUUAAAAUAAAAAAAAUUAUGCAAAGGAUAAUAUAAUUAAAAUAAUUAAUUUUUUUGUAUUAAUUAAUCCAUCUAUAAUUUUCUAUAUUUUUUAUAGAAAAAAUUUUAUAUAUUUUUUAUAGAUUAUGAAAUAUUUUUUUUUAUUUUUAACAAAUUUAAUUAUUUCAAUGUGUUAUUAAAUAAGACUUAAGUCUCAAAGUAGGGGCGGAGCCAAGGGGUUGCAAGGGCCCUGGCCCCCCCUAAAAUAGAAAAUUUUACCUUUAGUCCUUUUAUAACUUUUAAAAUUUUAAAUUAAUAUAUAGUAAAAUCACACUUUGGCCCCCUAAGAAUGAGAAAAAAUUGAUUUAAUCCUUCAAAAAUUAUAAAGAUAUAUACUAUUAAAAUGGUAAAAUUUUAUUUUUACUAUUAUAAAAAUAUAUAACUUUAUUCCGACCCCUCAAAAAAUUUUCUGGCUCCACCCAUGUCAAAGACCAUUGGAGCAUAGCUUCAAUUUAUUAUCUAAAUAUUUUCAAAAUAAGUAGUGAAUCAAUAUUUAAAAGAGUUUCUUGAAGGGGAAGAUUUGGUUGGUCUCUCUUACCGUGUUCAAAGUUACUUCGGCGUCAAUGUUUAUUUAUUUUUGUCCAUGAGGUACCUUUACUUGCGUUUACACUAACUGCAGCGAAAGAACCCAAAUAAUGGGUUGACGACCAAGAAAUAAAAUAGUUGUCAUAGUACUUAUAAAUGGCAGAGCUGUGAUGAGAACAAACAUACUAAUUACCAUAGCCGAAACAAUAAUAGUGUUUGUUGUUUUGAGAAUUGGGAGAAAUUGAACAUCCAAUCCAGAAUAUUAGCAGAGAAGCAAAUUAUGGUAACCAUCAAAUCUCCAUUGCCUCUCAUCCUUUGCUGCUACCUCUUGGUAUCUUUCGUCUUCUUCCCACAUGGAGCACUCUCUCGUCAACUACAGGAGGAAGGUAAAAAUGUAUUCAAUUUUCUGUAUGUAUUUUAAUCAUUUUCAUUUCUUUUUUUUAAAACCCUUUACAAACUCAUUAAGGAAGCCUUGUCCUGGUUUAUGUGUAUGAUGUCCAUUGCAUUGAAUUGCAGGUGGUGGCAAUAAACGAAGCAAAGCGGACGUAAAAAGAAGUACAUCACGAUCAGCACCAUCUUGGGUUGGCCAGGAUUCACAUCCACCACCGUCUAGCCAGGUUUCAAGGACAAGUUCAAGUUCAAGUCAAUCUACGGUCGUGGAGUAUUCUCGUCAGGAUUCCAACAGCCCCACAGGCCCGGGAUGGAAUUGCCAAACCACAACUACUAGUAAUGGUUACGCGAGAUCGUGUUCGAAGACCACUUAUCAAUCCUCCACCAGCCCAUAAAGUUUAUGUUUCGUUCUGAGAUAAAGCUUGGUGUGUAUUCUGUUGUUGUUUGGUAUGUUUCGCCCAUACCAGCCAAAAUGAUAUUCAUGGCUGGUAUAUUAACUGUGUACUACGAAUGAAAUAAAUGAUAAAAGAAGGAUAUAUAAUAAAGUUAAACCUUAAUCUUUUUUUUAUCAAAUUAGGGGUCUUCAUAAUUUGGUUAAAACUGAAUUAACUAAUCGAACUGAUUUAAUUAGGUUAAUCGGUUCGUGAUCGAAUUUAGUUCAAUUAGAAAUCGAUUAAUAAUUUUUUGAGAUUUCGAUUAUCGAUUAAUACGGUUCUGAAUUAAGUAAUAUAUUAUAUAUAAUAUAUUUUUUAUAUUAACAAUGCAUGUUUUUUAAAGAUUUUAAAAGCCUCAAGUUUAGUAUGACUUGAGGAAACCUUGAGUUUACAUUUAAAAAUAACCCAAAUUUCUUUGAUUGCUUAAAUAUAUAUUGAUUGUCAACUCAAAGAUAAAGUUUUGUAAUAUCUGUUCUCUUUAAAUAAAGAAUAUAUUGAGACGUACGUUUAGAAGUUCACCUUUUUAAUUGGUAGAAUAAUAAUUGCAGUUUUUAAUUUUUAUAUUUUUUAUUAAUUCGACCCUAGUUCUAUAUAAAAAUCAUAAAAAAUUUAAAUUUAUUUUAAAAAAUAGAAACUUCUAUAUAAAAUUUCUAGAAAAAUAAAAUCUCAAAAAUGUUGUUGAAGAAUUAAUACGUAUGGAAAAAAAUAUCAUUCAAUAGAAUCUAAUAACAAAUUAAAAACAAAACAAAACCAAAAAAAAAAGGUUAGAUCAUUGCAUGCUUCCUCAACGUUUUACAAAACUAAAUUAGUAAUAUUUUCAAGUCAGGUUCCAUGCCCUUGAAGAACAUCAAGAAUUGAUAGUACAGAGGCUUGUGAAAUCGAUUUUGAUGUCAUUCUUUUAGCAAAACAUAUCACAAAUUUUCUUUUUCAAACUCAAUUCAGAAUUUCAUUUCAUUUAAAUUAUUUUUCAAAACAGAAAUUGUAAAAACAAAUUAUAUUCUAGUUUCUUUUCUUUUCUUAUAACGAAAAAAAUAUGUCAAGAAACAAAAAAGUUAAAAAAUAGAACCAAUAAUUUUGCUUAAUAUAUUUUUUUUUUAUUUUUUCUAUGUUUUAUUUAAAAGAAUGGGCAUUAGAUAUUACCAUACAAAUAAUACAAAGAAAAAAAAUUAGAGGAUUUAAAAAUAAUUCUCCCUCAUUUUCUCCCUUUAUCUAUUUUUGAAAUUUUCAUUUACUUUUAUUUUAUUUUAAUUUUAAUUUUUAAAAUGUUCUAAUUUUUUUAAAAAUUUUCAAUUUUCAUCAUUUUAUAUUAAAGAAUAAAAUUAUUAUUAUACCAAUUAAAAAGGUGUCGCUCAAUGAUCAGGUGACAAAGAAAAAACAUUUCGAAAAGCUUAAUGAUCAAAUUAUAAUUUUUCUUAAACUAAAAGACCAAAAAAAUUUUACCCAUAAUUUAAUGACCAAUAGCGUAACUUACUUAAAAAAAUUAAUCACAAUUGAGCUUUGAGCUGGAGUUUAUACUUUAUCACUAGUAAUUAAUUUUUAAAAAAUUUAUACGUUUAGUUUAUUUUAUUUUUUAAUAUUUUCUUAAAAGUAUGUGCCACUUUACAAUGAAUGAAAUAACUUUAAUAAAUUUUGUUAUGAAAAACAAUUACAUAAGUCAUGGAGUAUCCUCUUUCGAUUGGUCCAACUAUUUAUUGUAUUUAGACUUACAUCAUAGAGAGCAUAUGCUGCUAUAUAUAUCGAAAAUCUUGAGAAUAGGGCUUCAAUAAAAUUUACUGUCAACAUCGGUAGCAACCAAGUCAAUGACUGUUCAUUUAGCUUUCCUUUUCCUGGUGUUUGCUUCUCUUGUAGCUCUUCAUGAAUGUACGUGUACUCAAUUACAAUUUACACUGUUGUUUUUCUUCUAAUUGUUGAUAUACCCUUUUGAUGUUUCAUUUUGAUUUGAUCAGGCACCAAUGACGAUGAGCUUGAUCGGAGCAUACCAACAGGCAACGAAAUAAUACUAGGACCAUGCAGUCAUUCAACAUGCGGUGUAGAAUCAGCAUCGGGGAGCGACAGCAUAUUCCGAAAUUGUUGGUGCUGUUUAUUACUAAAAUCACAUCUUUGUUAUACCUAUAGAAUUGUCUGCGAAAACAAUUGCGCACCCGGACCACCUCCUGAUCUUGCAAUUCCUUGACUGGAUCACCUUGCUUUUGCAAGGCUGAGAUGACCCUCUAGUUGUUGAAACCAACAUGUCACUUGUUUCCAAUAAUCAUGAAUAAGAAGUGGCCAAAAUAAAUUUUAUUAUUCGAUUGUGGUAUCCAUCCUAAGGCUCUAGCUUAGAAAUUUAUAUGGGUAAUUACAGUUACCAAAAUAUUAAAUACUCUUCUAACCAUUAAUACAUGAAAAUAUUAUCAUUUUAUCCCUCCUAAAUAAUAUUUUUGUCCCUUCCAAAAUCCUCCUAUAAAUAUGAGGCAUUUUACUAAAAACAAAUCUUCUUCUACUCUCUCUCUCUCGACUCUCUCUCAUUCUUUCUGAAACUUUAGAAUUUUUCUUAAAUUGCAUUAGAGAAAAUUUAGUCUAGGAGUUUAGGUUUCAAGAAGAACCGUUUGUGACUCCUUCAGACUUUCCUGUGAAUUUAUCCUAGUCCAAUUGAGUUCUACCUUCCUUAUUUGAGUGUACAAAUAUCGAAGAACUGUGCUAACCUUGAAAAACUACAUCCACUAUACGAUUACAACAAGCAAGGUAAAUUCAUUUCUAAGACAGUAGUUCUUCCACGGUACAGUAAUACUUUAUUUAUUUCCAGCAGACAUUUGGUAUAAUGAAAAGUUAUCACUUACGAAAAAACUUAAUUAGUUAAAUGUUAUUUCAAUUUUUGAUAUGCAAAAAUUGAUUCACAAGUUGCAUAUCUUCAUAAUCUCAAGUCAAUAUGAAAGUUGUUUUUCAAAUGUGUUCACGUAAUGUAUUAAAUCAAAAUAUGAGAAAAACAGUAAACACAACUAGCAUGACUUGAACCCAAGUCACAUUUAAGGUAAUAAACACAUUUGACCAUCAAACCAUCAUAUAAAAUUCUAAUAUUAAAUAUUUAAUUUAUAUAUUUAUUAACAAUAAAAUUAUUAAAAAAAACAUUAAAAUAUAUAAAUAUUAUCUUUUAUUUAUAAGGAUAAUUUUUUUAAAAUAAGAUCACAUUUUUUUAAAAGUGUUGAAUGUACCAAAAAUAUAAUUAUAACUUUUUCAAAAUUUUAAUCAAUAUUUUUUAAUAUACGACAAACGUUAUAAAGUAACUUUUCACACCUCCAUAAUAAACCACGUUUCAAUUAUGAGAUGAAAAAGCACCAAACACCCUGCUUGAAAACAUCCACGUGCUUUUCAGAAAUUGAGAUAACUUCAAUCUGAUCCUUCAAACUUCAUAUAUUUAAUUUCAUCCCUUAUUAAGUUUUAAUUGCUUCGAUUCAAUCCCAAUUUAAUUCUAAUUGCACUCAAUAUAUAUAUAUUUAUAUGUUUAUAUAUGAUUUUUAAUUUGAUUGUUUAACUUUAUACUUUACCAUUAAUUUAAUAUACUUGAUUUAUUUUAUAAAAAUAAAAAUAGAAUUUUUUAAUAAAAAUGGAUUAUUUUAAAAGAUAUUUAUUAAAAAAUAUAAAAACAUAAUUUAUAAUUUUUUUAGAACCCUAAAAACAAGAUCUAAUAUAAACUGUAAGCCUAAAAAUAAUAGCCAAAUACAUGCAUAAAUCAAGAAUCAAAUAAAUUAUAGUCUUUAAUCUUUCACUGAAUCGCAUAUUCAAAUAUUAAUCCAACCUAUAUUUAUAACAUAAACUUAAAGGGUUUCAAUCAAUAUUUUCAACAUGCAAAAUUGAUGGACAAAAUAUUUAUUAGUCGAUACACCAAAUCAAUAUUUUAAAUCCUUAAAAUUCUAAAACAAAUCGAAACCUAAAAAAUUUAACAUAAAUGCAAAAGAUUUGGCAUGUAUGAUAAAAAGAACACUGAAUCCAAAUAUCAAGUUCAUAAAAUUUUAAAAAAACGAAUAAAACCCAAAAAUAAUAGAGAAUCAAUUCUUUCUAAAUGAUUUAACAUGACGAUACUCGGAUGCCACUUGUUAGAACCGUAAAAACAAGAUCUAAUAUAAACUUAAAAUUAUAAACCAGAAUCUAUCAUGUCAAAUCAUUAAAAAUAAAUCAAAAAUAAAACUAGAUGCAGAAACAUACUUGAAUUCAUCGAUUUCUUGAAAUCUACGAAUCUUGGGGUUUUGAUAUUUCAAAUUAGUACACAAGUAAUCUAGAGAAUGUGGCUCUCUUUUUUCUAAAGAUGGGAUAUUAGAAAAGUUACGUUGUGUGUAAUUCGGAAACCAUAACCCUAAUAUAUAAUUUUGGCACAUUAGCCCUAAUUUUUAAUCAACCCAUCAUCAAUUAGAAAUUAGUUACUAGAGUUAUUUGAUCCAUACUUUAUUUAAUAAUUAAAACCCAACAAACAUUAAACAAAUUAGAUCCCUUUUAAUUUGGGCUAACAUAUUAUGAUGGCAAAUAAUAACAUGUUAUAUAGAUGUUCAUAUUUUCCAACAAAUUUAUGUUGCAAUCUUUUAAGUAAUAAUAUUAUUUGUAGAAUUUUAUAAAAUUUUAUAAAAACUUUUAAGAAAUAAUUAAAUAUAAUUAAAUUAAUACAUAUAAUUAACCCUAAACCCGAAAUUUAUUUAAGAAUAUACUUAAUCAACCAACCUAUACAUUGUACGGGAUAAUCAAACUAGUAUAUAUAUAUCUUGUGCAAUGAACGAGACAGAAUUUUGCAGUCUUAUAAAUUUAUCAGAGAUUUCAAUUAUAUUUAAAUUAUUAUAUAUUUAUAUAAAUAUAUUUAAAUUAUCAAAAUUGAAUAAUAUAUUAAUAUUUAUUCUUUGUCAUAUUAAAAAAUCACCUUUAUUGUAUAAUUCGACAUCGCGUGCAUGGCGUUAAGGAAAAGGCAGUCCGUCAACAGCGUAUCUCUGUGUUUUUAUACGUGGAAGUCAGCCAAUUCACUAGUUGUCCCUGCAUGUAUUACCGUAUUCAAGGCUCCCCUUGGCAAAUUCGAGCCAAUCAAUUUUUGGGAUAAAAAUCAUUUGUAGCCCUCCCAUUUUGAUUCAACAACAUGCAUGUUUUCAAUUAUUUUUAUUCAUAAGGAUUUUAAUAUUGUUUUUAAAGAUUAUUAUAUAAUCAUAUUUUCGUUAAUUCAUUAACGGGUGUUGAUUAGUAUGAAGAGGUGAUUAAAAUUCUUGUUAAACAUUCGUUUGGUAUAAAUUCAAACUAUGUUACUCUUAUCUAGAUCUGAUCAUGGAUCGAGCUAUCCGUUCAUGCUCGAAGGCCUGCCCAAAAAGUGGGAGAGCUUGGGCAAAAAUAUAGGCCCGAAAAAUAGGCUUGGAAAAUAAUAAUGCCCGUUUUCUAAAUGGACUAAGCCUCGGGUAUUAUUUUUUUGGAUUGGGCCCGCUCCAAAUAAAUUGUUUUAUUGUUGUUUUACUGCUAUUUUGUUGUCAUUUCUUUGUUGUUUUGCUAACAUUUCGCUAUUGUAUUGUUACUAUUUUGUUAUUAUUGCUUGGAUAUUGUAUAAUUCUUAUUUUAUUAUUAAUUUUGUUACUAUUUUAAAAGCACUUGCUUGCUAAGUUGCAACUAUCUUAGUGUUAUUUAAGUAUAAAGACUUUUUUAUAAAUGUAUUUUUAAUUUGUUGAGAAACAUUUAUUUUACUAUUUUUAGUGUAUUUGACGUAUUUUAUUUUUUAAAUUAGUUUUUAUAUAAAAAUAAUUUAAAAAAAUUAAUAUGGGCGAGUUGAGUUAGGCUCGGGUUUAGCAUUUUAAUCUGAGCCAAGCUUGGGCAGAAAUUUAAGCUCAUUUUUUCGGCCGAGCCCUAGCUUAAAAUUUUGUAUCGGCACAAUCCGAAUACGACACCUGAUCAAGUCUACUCCCAUCCUACCCUAAUACUAUAUCUAAAAAAAACUUUAAAUAUUGUUUUAAUUGACUUUUUUUUAUUUAUAGAUUCACCACUUCUAUUCUUAUUCUUUUUAACCCGAAAAAAAAUGUCCAACCCAUCUUGUGUUUGUAGUGAAUAACAGAAACGCAACUAGCGUGACUCAUAUUCAGAUCACACUUGGAGCGAUAAACACUACCAUAAGUUCAAUACACAAAUUUCUAUCCAACCCAUCUCUUUUUCUUUUUUUCUUUUUUUGAUGAAAAAUAAUACAAAAUUACAUGAGAUCAAAUGCACAAACGUAUCCGAACCAUCUUUUUAAUUGAUGCAAUAUCGAUUUGUCCUAACUAAACUUAAAGUCUUGUAGUUUUUGUUUUAUACAUAGAAACCUAAAAGUCUUACAAUAUUGACAAAUAAAAUGAACCAACCCAAAUUUUGGGUUGAUUGAGAUAAUUAAUUGAAGGCAUAGUCAAGGGCGUAAUUAAGGCCACUGAAUUUUAUAAGUGUUUUAAUAUUAUAUAUUAUCAUUCAAGAAAAGUGUAUAUUUAUAUCUAACCCCCUAAAUUUUUAAGACUUUCUGAAGUGCAUGCCUUAUAAUAUUUAAGGUAUAUUUAACGUUUGAUCCCUUAAUUUUCUUUUAAUUUUGAUCCAUUUUAAAUAUUUAGCUUGAAAUUAUUAAAUUUUGAUAACACUUCUGGUCUAGAUCUCAUUUAUUAAUUUUAAUUUAAUUAUCUCUAUUUUACUUUAAUAAAUCAAGCAAACAUAUUCAUGUUAACUGGUAAAAUAACAUUACAUAAUUUUAUGCAUAAUUAGGUUAAAAUUUUUUAACAUAAGGUAUUAAUUCUUAUUAAAUUUUCUACACACGUAAUGUGAUGACACUAAUUUAUUAGUUAAUAAUGUCAUUAUUAUUAUUUGAAUAGUUAAAGAGGACACAAGAUUAGUCCCAACCAUCCCAAAUCAGGCUUAAUUAAAAAAAAAAGAGGUACUCUACACUCAAGGUUACUAAAUUAUUAGUAGGUUUACAAUUUGAUCAUUUGACUUUAAAAAGUUACAAAAUAGUCAUUGAAUUAUUUGAGAGUUUUCAUUUAAGUCAUUGAACUAUUCAAAAGUUUUUAUUUAAGUCACUGGGAUAUUAAGUUUUUUUUUUUUUAGUUCAGCCAGCGAGCUCCAAAUGACGAUUCGACGAUGGUAUGGUGGAUCAAUACCCAUUGACGAGAAAAAGAACAUUCCUUAAAUCCAAGUUGAUCUAACGAUCAGUGUUGAAGAUCGGGGAAGAAAACUAUUUCGAUUUUGGUUUGCAGAUUCGUGACAAAGUUGCUUCAUGAAAAAAAUUGAAUUGUAGAAGAGAAUGGGAAUGAGAGCUUUCGAUUGUUGCAGAGGUUGCAAGUAGAGAAUGUCAUACAACAUCGAUUUUAACAACCCAAUAACUUAAAUUAAAAUUUUUAAAUAAUUUAAUAACUGUUUUAUAAUUUUUUUUAAAAUUACGUGAUAAAAACGUAAAUUGAAUUUCAUAUUUUUGUCACCAAAAAGUUAAACUAAAAAUAUUCUAAAUUUGAAGUACCUUUAAUCUUGACCCCUUAUGUCGCCUCCUUGGCAUUGUAUUUAUAAGAAGGAUGUCUGCCAAAUGAUUAAAAAGGAGACACCCACGCAAGUUGCAAGAUAUUAGCAGAUAAGCAACUUAUGGAAACCAAACCUUCAUUGCUUCUUAUCCUCUACUGCUUUCUCUUGGCAUCGUUUCUCUUCUUCCCACAUGGAGCAGACUCUCGUAAACUACUGCAGGGGGAAGAAGGUAUUAUUUAAGCUUUAUAAUUCAAUCAUUUUCAGUAUAAAUAAAUAUAAUAUCUUAUAUCCAAUUCUUGGAUUUGCAGAAGAUGGCAAUGGACCAAAAAAAGCGGGAGUAAGAAGAAGUCCUUCAAGAUCAGCACCAUCUUGGGUAGGCCAUGAUUCUCCUCCCAAUUCUCCUCCCUCGCCGCCUUCGCAGCAGUCAUUUGAAAAUCAAGUGCGCAGUGAAGCGGAACAAGAAGCCCAACGUGAAGCUUGCGAGUAUUCCCGUAGUUAUACUAAUGCUUAUUGUUCUCCUUAAUUUUAAAAGCCUUAAAGCCGCCACACCCAACAAUUAAGAGUCUGUCUUGCGCUUUCGAUCCUUCCGGACCUGGGUAUAGAUGUUAUCUACUUUGUUUGUGUACCGAGUACUGUGUGUUUUUAUAUGAGAAAUUAGAGUGCCACAAACUAAAAAAAAAAAAGAACUUCAAUGUUGAAAGUUCAAGUAUUAGUUGUUGGCGGAUACAUGCAACAUUAAACAUCAGUUCCAGGUUAGUUAAAGAACUGUUUAAUCUCUGUUAAGUGUAUACUCUUUCUAAUUACUUAGAUUACAAGCUUUUGUUAUGUAUGCAUUAUUAAAGGGUAAACUAUAAAAAUAGUUACUUUUGUUUGCCUCAUAUUAUAUUUUAAUCACUUAUGUUUAAAAUGUUACGUUUUAGUCACUUACGUUAUCGUUUUGUUAUGAAGUAGUCAUUUUGCCGUUAAGCCCCAUUACCUCCCUAACAAAAGUCCUAUAUGUCAGUCAAAUGGGUUUUAAAUGCCAACUUGGAUGUCCAAUUGGGACAGGAAUAGGUUUUUAAUUAAUUGAAAAUUUUAAAUUAAUUGAGGGGUAAAGUGCAAUUUCAUCAUAGAUUAACUUAUAAUUUUAUUAUUUAUAAAGGCCCUCAUUGGUGACAGAUAUGAUUCAAAGCUACAUCCAUUUGCUUGAUUAUGGUAGAAAACCCAUAGUUCGAUGCAUAUCCACAAGGUAGAUGUCAUAUUCCUGUAGGCAAUACUUCAAAGCCUGCAUUAGAAGAAAAAAAAAAUGAUGAGCUACAGCAUACAGUUGGAGACUAGAGCAACGGCAAUAAUAUUUCAAUUUUCCCGGCAUCAGGAUUGGCUAUGGCAGCUAAAGCUUCUUGGGAUAAAUCAAUGGUGCCUUGACAACCAGAUGGGCAAUAAUCAACUAUUUUCACAACCAUAUAAUCCUGUCCUCUACAUGGAUUAGGGUCACCUUGGUUGGUUGCUCCUCUGCAUUCAACUUUGUAAUUUCUCCCGCAAGCUGACCCCCCGUCCCAAAAAGCAUCACUGGCAGCAGCAAUCAUCACUCCAUCAUUUUGGUAUCCAUUACAAGCAGAUGCUGCAAUUCCAACCCCCAAAAUAUUCAUUAGUCAUCAUACAAUCAGUCGCUCUUAGAUACAUAGCUAUUGAAUUAUUUAAAGAAUGAAAGUGAGUGCAAAGGGGGGCUUACGAACUUAUGGAGGAGUGUAAAAGGUGGCAGUCCCUGUAUCUGCAACAACUUCCCAGGAAGGAGAAGAAGGUAAGGAUAAAUGCAAGGGCUAUGCAGAAAAGGAUGCUAAGUUCCCUCAUUUUUGUUAGAAAGGGCAGAAUUAAGUUUAAUGAAAGGAAUGAUGGGCAAUGGUGAAAGAAAGGAGAGGUAUAAAUAUCCGGUUUGGGAAAAUUAAUUUAUACAUAAUGAAUGAUUGUAUUGUUGCUGAUUCAGCCUUAGCUCGAUUAGCAUCGUUAUUAUUGGCCGUGUAGGAGGAUGUGAGUUCGAGUGUAUUGAAAGGAUUAUCCUUCAAUUUUAAACCAUAAUUUUUUUUAUAUAAUAAUUGGGUAGAAUAAUGAAAUUAUUUGGGAUCAAACUCAAACUCUUAUCCAUACAAUAUAAUGCUUUUACAAGUGGAUUAAAAAAUUAUUUAAAAGUUACAAUUACAUAACUAUUUUAUUCAAAUAAAUAACAAAAUUUGUCAUACUAAUUACAUCUUUAUUUUCAAAAGUAAGUAUUAAGUAUUAACUAAAUCAAUUGAUGAAUUUGCAAGUUUAUUACUUUUAUUUUUUUUAUGUAAAACAAAUAUUUGUACUGACAAUUAAGUUUUAGCUCGGUUGACAUUGAUAUGGACAUUGUUGCUAGUGCAGGAGGAUGUGGGUUUGAGUACGCUAAAGCACAUUAUCUUCUUAGACAUUGUAUCAAAAAAUAUAUAUUUGUUAAUCUUAAAUGAGAUGCUAUGUAAAUUUCUAAAAAGCUAGAGGAUGCUCAUAUGGAUGUAUGUAUAUAUUUUUGCGUAUUUGAAUUCUUUAAAUAUAUUAUAUGUGCAUAUAUAAAUAUAUACACAUAGUUUUAAUCAUUUUUAAAAGUUUUCAUGAUUGUUUAUAAUUUCCUCUAUUUUUGUAUACUUUUUAAGAAAUUAUUCGUAACAACAAAUAUUUAUGUCCGUUUUUAUAUUUUUAUAAUUAUUUGAAAAAUCACAUUCAGGAUGAACAUAUACUAAUGGUUGUCUAUGUUUUGGGUUUUGGGUUUAUUUGUCUGUAUCAUCAUGAAUGUAGUUUUUCAAAUAAUUAUAAAAAAAGUUAUUUAAAAAAUUUUAUUUUUUGAAAAAUAAUCACAUCAAUAUGAGGCACAUGUGGCAUGUGGCAUGUCACAUAUCACUAUUUAGUUGCUUUAUGAAUCAUGUCAACAUUUAAUAAUAUAAAUGGAUAGAAUUUUUAAUAGAAAUGUCAAUUUUCUCUUUGGUCUUACGUAAAAGGUUUAAUUUGUUUAGUUUUUAGCAGAGGGACAAAAUAUAAUCUGACUCCUAGCAUAGGGACCUUCAUGGUAUGUACUUUACUUUUUCUUUUCAAAUAAAAAAAUAAUUCCAAUGUGGAUAUUGCCCUCCUUGUCAUCAUUUAAUGAUGAAUUUUUAAUAAAAUAAUUUAUUUGUAUUAUUUCUAAUGUAUAAAAGUUAGGGUAAAUUACACCCAUGGUCACUUUUGUUUACCUUAGGUUACGUUUUAGUCACUUAUGUUUGAAAUGUUACGUUUUAGUCACUUAUGUUAUCGUGUUGUAACAUUUUAGUUAUUGAGCCGUUAAUUGUCGUUAACAAUAUAACGAUAAGCUAAUGUGGCGCGUUAAAUCAUCAUUUCAAACAAAAAAAUUUAGGUUAAAUUAUACAAUUGGUCCCCAUAUUUUUUAUUUUGAGCAAUUUAAUUUUUUCUUUUAUGUUCUUUUAACUUUUUUUUUCAUUAUUUUCCAUUCUCUUCUGCUUUUCCCUCUAUUUUCCUACCUUCUCCAUUUCUUUCAACAUAUCAGGAAGUCGAAUUGGCAGUGAAGAAAAAAGCAUGGUAUGGGUUUAAUGGGUUUUGGUUAUAGGCAGUGAUGGUUUUCGACUUCCUACUUAUUUCUUCACUGCCAAUUCGACUUCUUGAUAUGUUAAAAGAAAUGGAGAAUGUAAUAAAAUAUAAGGAGAAACAUAAAAUAAUGGGAAAUAAUUAAAAAAUUAAAUAUGAACAUAAAAAAAAUUAAAUUGCUCAAAAUGAAAAAAUAUGAGGAUCGAUUGUAUAAUUUACCCUAAAAUUUUUGUUUGAAAUGAUAAUUUAACGUGACACGUCAACUUACCGUUACACGGUUAGCGACAAUUAAUAGCUCAGUGACUAAAAUGUUACAACACGAUAACAUAAGUGACAAAAACGUAACAUUUCAAACAUAAGUGACUAAAAUGUAACCUAAGGUAAACAAAAGUGAUCAUGGGUGUAGUUUAUCCUAAAAGUUAAUUUGUUUAUUUUUAAAUAGCAUAAAUAAAUUGUAAUUCGACUCAUAAAACAAGUGCCAUGAGAAGUUACAUCUAACCGCAUCCAGCCAGUUUUCAGAGACAGUAUGCUCCUCCAACUGCGACGGUACAGUCAUGGGUGUACUCUCCUCCGGCUCUCAAGUCAUGGGUUGAAGAGCCCAGUGAAGCUUCCAGCUGGACCAGAAAUUAUACCCAAACUAAUUGUGAUACCUAACAUUAAAGCUGCUACACCCAGCAAAACUAGCUGGAAGAAAUAUGAAAUGCUAUUGCCUUGAACCGAUAUGGGUGUGUAAUAAACAUGGCAAGAAUUAAAACUUCAAAUGAAGAUCCUCUUUAUUAAUUGUUGAAUUGUUAUACAGUUAACUGGAAACUGCAUAAGAUUCAAUUCAUUAUUUUUCAAAAUGUUCAUCAUUUAUCAUCCACAUACAUAGGAAUAUUCACUUCGAAAGUUAAAGAUGCCAAUGAGACCCACUGCCAUAUUUCGACCCAUAUCCGCAAGGGAGAUGUCAUGUUCCUGCAGGCAAUACUUCAGACCCUACAUUGCAAAACAUGGAUAAGUUACAAUCUAAAGUUGGAGAAACACCUGAAUGCUUAAAUUGAUUAUGAGAUUAACAUACUGAUGAAAGGAAAUUUUAAUUUCCCCGGCAUCUGGAUCGGCUAUGGAAGCGAAAGCUUCUUGGGAUAAAUCAAUGGUGCCUUCACAACCAGAUGGGCAAUAAUCAACUACUUUCACAACCACAUACUUCUUUCCUCUACAUGGAUGAGGGGAUUGGUUGGUUGCCCCUGUGCAUUUAACUUUGUAUUUUCUCCCGCAAGCUGCUCCAUCGUCCCAAAUUGCAUCACUGGCAGCAGCAAUCAUCACCCCAUCCUUUUGGUAUCCGUUACAAGCAGACGCUGCAAUUUUUCAACCUCAAAAUAUCAACUAGUAAUCGUACAUUAAUUUAGCCAGCUAUUUGGGUUAAAUGCAUCCGAAAUUUUAGGUCUGCAUAACCAUUGGAUUACUGCAAAGAGUAAAAAUUAAGGCAAAGGGGGCUUACGAACGUAUGGGGGAGUGUAGAAGGUGGCAGUCCCUGUGUGUGCAACAACUUCCCUCAAGGUGAAGCUGAGCAUAAAUGCAAUGGCUAUGCACAAAAGGAUGCUAAGCUUCGCCAUUCCUUACUUGCUACAAAAGGUGGAAUUGAUUUUAAUAAAGCGAAGGGAUGGGCAAAUGCUGAAAGAAAGAAGAGCUUUAAAUAGCGGCUUCGGAGAAUUACUGUACGUGAAGCCAUAAACAACUGUGUUCUCGGAUUUUACGUACAAUACAUUCUGAGGUUCAUUCUCUGUAAUUUUUCUUUCUGUUUGAUUCUAGCAACCAAUCAACAAGCUUUGCGAUUUCUUAAUAUUAGAUUUUGUCACACCAACUAAAUCAACGAUAUUAUUAAUUUUAGAUUUUGUCUGAAAAACUAAAAUUUAUUCAAUAAUAAAUAUAGAUAAUAAAUUUACAUUUUUUUAUCUUUAUAUUUGUAAUUUGUAAUUAUUUUUAUUUAAAGAUGAUAUAAAAGUAUAAAAAAAGACAAAUAUUAAACUUUAUUUUGUUACAAACUUGGUUGCUAUAAUGAAAUAUUGUUAUAGAAAUGAUUGAUUGCAGUUUGUCGAUUAAGGUUUAGCUCAAUUAGCAUUGUUGCUAUUAUAACAAGAAGGACAUGGUCUCGAGUAUGCUUAAGCAUAUUUUUCUUCUGGUUUAAGAAAGUUAAAGGUAGAAGAAGUAGGGGAGAGAUCCACUUACACCGGUGUAAAAUUAGAAUAGUUUUAUACUCUUCCAUAACUUUUCAUACUACUAACAUUUUAACAAUCCAACCAUUGAAUUUAUUAAUAUAAUUUUAUUUGUCAUGCAUGUAAAUUAAUGAAAAGAUUCUAUAUUCCUAUCAUAUCAAUCUAAAAUAUUAUCAAUAAUAAUAUAUAUUUAACGGUUGAUUUUUUUUUACAUACAACAAAUAAUUAUAAAUUUUUAAUUUAUGACAAGCUCGACAGGCAUAAUCUACAUGAAUAAAACAUAAAAUAUUUAUAGUAUAAAAAAUUAUGAAAUGAAGUAAAACCACUUUAAAAACUUACACCGACAUAAUCAUACCAUAAAAAAAAUAUGUUAGAGAUUGUAUGACCUGAAUCAUGUCACUUGUUGAAGAAAUAAAUACAGUAGCAAAAUAAAGAGAUCCAUGGGGGCGAAAGGCCGAGGGCCAUACAGCACAAGUUAAAUUCGUAUAGAACUAUUAUUCUUCUAUUUGACUUUGAUUAGAACAUGAUUUUUCAACCAUUAAAUAGAUGUAGUCGAAACUCCUCUUGUAUCAUUCGUUUUUCAACAUUAGUGAAUCUCUUCUCCUCUGCCCGUAAUUUUUUUCCCGAAAGGGCUUCCACGUAAAAUAUGUCUGUUAUAUUAUUUUUCUUUUCUUAUUGCUUUGUAAUCAUUCUACUGCCAUUAUCGACGUUUAUUAUAACAAAAUACAUAAAAAUUACAAUUGGGAAUUAAAGUGGGUUUAAAAUUCAAUGGUUAUAUUUACACAAUACAACAUAAAUGUUAAAGAGAAAAAGAAUAUUACUGAAUAGUUAACUAGAAAUUCAAUUUGGUGACAAGAAAGAUGAAGUUUAGAAGUGAUCGAGGUAAAUGACACAGGAGAGGAAGGCUAUUGGGUAUGAUGAUUCAUAUUUUUAUUCUUUUCUUGCCGUCUCAUUGGUUACACUGGUUGUGUUCGGAUGCUCUAACAGUGACAUAAUUGGACCAUUUCGGUGCAUUUUAUGUGCAAUACUCAUCUAUUUAUAUUUAAGUAUGUGCAUGUACCAAUCAAUAAAUAAUUGGGUGUACUGGUAAAACAUAUUGUACUUUCAAAAGAAGGUUUCAGGUUUGAAUUUUGAAGACGAUAUUAUUAAAAGAAACAACCAUAAACUCCGAACAUAAUUCGUAAAACGAAAAUGAAAAACUCUAAAAAUAUGAAAUAAGGCUGUAAUUCCAAGGUGAACAACAAUAAAAAUCAAUGGAACGAAAAUCCAAUGCAAAGAACAGUAAAAUAGGUAAAUCUUUAUUGAUGACAAAACUUCAAUAUUAAUUAAUUAAAUUACUUUCUUGCUAAAGAUAGAAAUUGCUUAACCCAAGAAUAUAAAGACAGUUACUGGAUCAAGGACUUAAGUAAAAGGAAUACAAAAUUAGGAAUAACAAAAAGUUAAUACCUAGGCUCAAUUGGUAAGAUCUAUCCAAGUGUGAACUUAAAAUUUAUUAAAAGAUCAAAAUAUAGGUUUGAAGCAGAAGCAGUGGCAGUGGUGGCAGAGCCUGAAAUUUUUUUUAGUAUCGGAAUUAAAUUGUAUAUACUUAUAAUAGUAAAAAUAAAGUUUCAUCAUUUUAAUAGCCUAUAUCUUUAUAAUUUUUAAAGGGUUAAAUCAAAUUUUUAUCAUUUUUACCAUUUUAAGGGAGACUAUGAUCUUCUAGGUCUCCACUACGCUCCGCCAUUAAUAUAUGAAAAGUCUCAUUUGACCAUAAUUUGUUUCACAUGAAAUGAAAAGAAGAAUCCUAAUCAACCAUGGCAUUAUUGGCUUUGAUAAAUAAAGCUUUUAUCAUCUUAUUUAUUUGAAGUGCACAUCAGUUGUUCUUUUUAUGAUGAUUAUAUAUCAACAUCAACUCAAUUGAUGUUCCCACUUAUCACUUAGGGCAACAUUAAUUUAAAGGAAACCUUUCAUGUAGAAUGCACUUAUAUAGUGCACAAAUAUAUGUUCAUGUUUGUUCAUCUUUGAGUGAUUAGAUAAAUUAUUUUUGGGAGAAUUUACUUUAAAUAUAAAAGAAUGGGGAUGUAAUUAUUCGAGGGUUACGAUAGAUUAAGCUUAAAUAAUUUCUUGCGUUAUAAAUUUAAGUAUGAUGGGCUUAAUUUUCUACAUGGCCCAAUAACUCAAUUCCAAUACAAGAGAAUGACAGCCUAAUUUAAAUGUACUGGCCCAACAGUUGGUGACAAGCAAUCUUCAAGCAAAAGAAUUUGAAGGUUCAAAAAGCCAGACUUUAUGAAGCCUAAUAAUGCAAGCCCAAGAGGGUAUUUUGGAUGGAAGGUUCUAAUAAGCUUCCAAUGGUCGUAAUUACAUAAAUUUCGUAUAUCAUCAAUAAAUAAUAACAUGAUAUAUUAUCAUUAACUUAAAUAAAACAAAUUAUAAAAGACUUAUAAAUAAAUGUUAAUAAUUUUAUUUAAACAUAAUUAAACAUUAAUUGAACAACUAAAUAAAUAUUAAUGAGUCUUAAAUUUAGGAUCUUGAGUUUAAGUGUUUAAGGUUUUAACAUAAUUAAGCAUAGUAAUAUAAUGAUAAAUUUAUAUUUUAACCCAUUUAUAAAUUAAUAGUCUAGAGUAAAAAGUCGAAGUAAUAAAUGUAAAUGAGACAAUUUAGUUAAAGGUUUGAAUAUAGUCACUGAAAUUUAAAUCAAAACUCUCAUAAUAAAUCACACAAUUUAUCCAUGGUUAGCAAUAGAGGUGAGCGUUUGAUCGAAUUGAGACGAAUCGAAUCGAAUCGAGUGAAAAAAUUUCGAGUUUACGAGUACUAUUUUAUCAUUCUGACUCAAUUUGAAAUUUUUUUCGAAUCUAUUUGAAUCGUUCCUUUUCUAUUCAUAUCAGCAUUUCGUAUAGAGGUUAUUACGUCAGCAAUAGUGUCCUUACCCAUGGUAAACUAAAAUUUUUGUUGCUCCCGAAUUUUUAUAUAACUAACGUGGUCUCUUUUUUUUUUACUUAGUAAAGGUAUAUACGUGAGACACAAUCUACUAAUUAAGAGUCGAGUCUAGUCGAAUUGAGUGAAAUUGUUCGAGUUCAAUUAAAAAAUUAAACCUGUCAAAUAAAAAUAUUGUUAUAGUAUAACUACUUCCAUAUUAGAGCACAUAAAUUUGAAACCAUAUAUAUUUGAAAAUUUUGUCAAAAAAAAUAAUCAAAAAAAUAAAUACUUGAGUAUAAUAAAUUUGAAUCAUUAAUUAGGUCUCAAAAUUAUUAUUUUAGAAAAAAAUUUAAAAUUUUAUUUAUUUUUUAUAAUUUUUAUAAUUUUUUUAAAAUAUAAUUUUUUUAAUAUUUAUAAAUAUUUUGAAUUUUUUUGUAUUCUUUGUUAAGAGAGACCCAUUUGCUUAUUUUUAAAGUUGACAAGAACCAAAAUAGUAUUUACACCAAUAUAUUAUUUGAAUCAUGCAAGUUAUUCGAAUUGUGAAAUUCAACUCGACUUGAACUCGAAACUCGAAUUAAGUUAUUCGAGUUGACUCAAAUAAUUUGAAUAACUUAAUUCGAUUAACUCAAAAUUCGAUUUUUUUUUUUUGCUGAAAUUGAUCUUUCUUGUCACCAAAUUGAAUUUCUAGUUAACUAUUUCAAUAAUAUUCUUUUUUCUUUAACAUUAAUUUAGUUCAAACAGUCUGCUUUGCAAUAUAUAGUUUCAUUUUAAAAUUCCCACAUUUUGUGGUCGAUCUUAUUCAUGAUUAUUUGAAAUAUAUCAAAAGGCAAGCUAAGUCUAGUUAUGGAAAUGGAAGAUCAGGAGGUGGUCCGAGCGGGCAAUUCUUUUCGCAAUCGGCUCUCACAGUAUAACACUCUGAUUUUCUUGAUAUGCAGCACCAACAGCUGCGGAAUAUGCCAUCACCGGAAGCUGGCCCCGAUGUAGGACAAGGUCUAUGACUGCAUGGUCCUAGUGUUAUUUUGCUGCCCGGGUCAAGUUCAUUGCCAUGGAUGCUGCUGCUUCUACUACCUGCAAUUCAAAUGAAAUUUGCCAUUAAAGAAAGAAUCAUUUCAAUGUAUGAAAAGUUGAUAAAAUAUGAAAAGAUCAAACCAGAGUAAACUAAAAAUCAGUAUACGCACAUUCAUGAAAAGCUGGAAGAGAGGUGAAGAGCAGUAAAAGGAAGGCCAAACGAGUAGCCAUGAACUUGGUUGCUACCAUUGUUGAUGUGAAAUAUGAUUGAAGUUCUUUACGUGAGGUUUGAAUAUAUAUAUAUAUAUAUAGAAAAUUCUAUAAAUAGUUAAGACUAAUCAAAAGAUGUUUACAUUUAUUUGAGAGGAUUCACUGCUAAAAAUUGCAUAGGGUUGUUAUUCAAUAUUUGGCUUUUCCCGGAAAGGAAAGAAAUCCUAAAACAUUAAUUUUUUUUAAUGAUGUUUGCAUGGUAACUCGUGUGAUAGUGCACAUGUUGAUAUGACACUAUUUAUCCUAUAUGCACAUAUAUUUUUCGUAGAUUGUUAUGUGAGCUACCGUGUUAAAAAAUUUAAUAUUUUAUUCCAUAUUUUUGUUAAAAAACAUAAAUUUGGCUCUUUUUAAAAAAUUGAUAGUCAAAUUUGAUAUUUUAAAAAGAUCAAUGGCCGAUUUUAAUUAAAAAAAAUAAAUGUCAAAUUGACAAAAUAUGUAAACCUUAAGAGCUAAAUUUUGAAUUACUUUUAAUUUUAAUAUGGAACAAUUCUUUCUAAUUAUAAAUUGAACAAUGGUAGCAACCAAGUUCAUGGCUAUUCGUUUGGCCUUCCUUUUACUGCUCUUCACCUCUCUUCCAGCUUUUCAUGAACGUGCGUAUACUGAUUUUUAGUUUACUCUGGUUUGAUCUUCUCAUAUUUUAUCAACUUUUCGUACAUUGAAAUGAUUCUUUCUUUAAUGGCAAAUUUCAUUUGAAUUGCAGGUAGUAGAAGCAGCAGCAUCCAUGGCAAUGAACUUGACCCAGGCAGCAAAAUAACACUAGGACCAUGCAUUCAUAGACCUUGUCCUACAUCGGGGCCAGCUUCCGGCAAUGGCAUAUUCCGCAGCUGUUGGUGCUGUAUAUCAAGAAAAUCAGAGUGUUAUACUGUGAGGGCAGAUUGCGAAAAGAAUUGCCCCCUCGGACCACCUCCUGAUCUUCCAUUUCCAUUACUAGACUUAGCUUUUGAUAUAUUUCAAAUAAUCAUGAAUAAGAUCGACCACAAAAUGUGGAAAUUUUAAAAUGAAACUAUAUAUUGCAGAGCAGACUGUUUUAUACUUGUUAGCUACCUCUUUCUGAUAUUUGAAACUCAAUAACAAAAAGUUUACAGCAAAAUUUAGAAGAAAAAAAAACAUGGCACAAAGGCCUAUUCCAAAGAAAGUUCCAAAGUUUAGAGAGAAUGAGAUUUACACCUUUUGACUCUAAUAUGAAGAUCUAUACAAACAGUCGGGGAUGGAGUCAUUGUGGUAGUAUACAUGUACUAAGAUACUAAUCAGGUUAAAAUUGAAGUUGGUUAGAAAUGAAUGCAAGAACAUGCAUGUUUUUUCUAUUGGAGAGGUCAAGAAUCCUCAGAAAUCCAAGCAAACCAUUCAGUGAUUAAACCCAAAUGCACCAGCAGGACGGGGAAAAUUGCUGGCGAUGUCCAACCAGCAUAUAAUUCAAGGUUUUGCUUUUGGAUGAUGUAGGAGGUGUUGCUAUGAGUCCGAGAUCGGUUUCGUUUUGAAGAACUUUGCUACAGCUAGGUAAAGAUUUUCCUCCUCAAAGGGCUUUGAGACGUAUCCGUCCAUCCCACAUUUCAGGCACUCAUCAUAGGUGGCGUGAAUUACAUCAGCUGUCAUGGCUAAUAUCGGGAUAUGCCACUCACCAGUCCUGAUAGACCCUUCUUCUGUCCCUCCGUUCAUCUGUUCAUUUGCCUGACUCUCCAUCAUGCGAAUUCGACGAGUUGCCUCAAACCUGAAAUAAUAGUCCAUGAUAUUAAAAUUCACACCCUAUCUUUACAAAAUGAUUAAAAUUCAUAUAUAUUUGUAUAAGAUUUAAAGGAGGAUUAUCUGACAAAAUGAAUAAUCACAAGCUAACCAUGGGCAACAUUUAAAUAAUGCACUACAACAAAAUAAUGAUUAUCAAGUUCUCACUCAAAUGAGAAAUUUGGUAUCUAGUGGAGACAACCAUAAGGCUAAUCAAAGGAAUUUGGUCCACAAAUGAAGUGUAACUGUGAAGAAAUAAUGUGCCAACAGCCAUGUGAUGUUUAGACCGGACCGGACCAUAGAUAUGUCUAAAAACAACAUACAGACUUUGCUUUCUUUUUCCUGUAUUUGGUGCUUAGAUUGUCAACUGCCCAAUGUUAAAGAUAUGGUAUACAUACCCGUCCAUUUCGGGCAUCUGAAUAUCCAUGAAGCAAGCGUCAAAACUGUGUGGAAGUUGAAGCAAUUUAAGUGCAGCUUUUCCACUUUCAGCACAUUCUACGGCAGCUCCAAACUUUUUCAAUGCGCCAGCAGCAACUCUCCGGUUUACCAUAUUGUCAUCAACUACUAAUAUUUUCUUUCCACAAAGAAGACUCCCAAGGACAGACGAUCCAUUCAGCAUGCCUCUUCCAGGCUGCCUCUUCUUCCCUGUCCCAAGCACCUGCUGAAGACAUGCAGCCACCAUACUUGCCCUCAAAGGUUUCAUAAUAGUAGUAUCUGCAAAACCUGCUGCCCUUGCUUUCUCAAGUUCAGCAUUAGUAAUAUUUGUCGCAAGAAGAAUCAUCUUUGGUGACUUAAACACGUGUCCGUUUUGCUGCCUGUCCAACGUUCGUAAGCUCAAACCACCAUCCUCACCAGAAAGCCAUGAAUCCUUCUCAACAAGAACUAUAUCCGGUUGAGUUUUACUUCUGCGACGUUCAAAGAUAUAAUUCAACAAAGUUAACAUCAUAAGAUGAAUAGAAAGCACAAAUGGUCUUUUUUUCCCAGUGAUCAUAACAAAGGCAUCAGAAAAGGUACUGAAGAAACUACAAAUUGUGUUAAAAAUGAGUAAUUGUUGACAAGAUCUUGUCAAAUGUGAUUAAAUCAUCAACCAAACAUAGGGCAAAUUCCCCAAAUGCAAACUAUAGUUUUACUGAAUUUACAAUCUCUCAAAUAUGAUAAUUCUAAACUAAAACGUACCCGCAUGAAGAACCAUUUUUACCACAAGCAGAAGCAGCUAUUUUGACACUAUUCGCAAAUUCAACCAGCAUGCCAAGCCUCUUCAAGUGGUACCGAGUUACAGCAGCUCUAACUGGUUUUCCGUCAACUACCACAGCUUUCAAUCCUCUGAAACCAGAUGGAAGAUCUUCGGCAUUGGGUUUUUUUGUAUCACUAAAUGAAGCUCUUUUACACCUCCCAAAGACUGUGGUGAAUGAGAAUGUGCUUCCAACUUGUGGUCUGCUGAUGAAGCUUAUGUGACCACCCAUUAGCUCAACCAAACACUUAGUAAUGCUCAGGCCUAUGCCAGUCCCACCAUAAUUUCUAGAGGUUGAGCUAUCCGCCUGCAUAAAGGGCAUGAAAACCCUGUCCUGGGCAAUCAAAGGGAUCCCAAUGCCAGUAUCUUCCACAGAUACCAUCAAAGUGACACUCUGAGAAGCUUCAUCAGCAGCUUUCAUUUUUACUGAGGCAUCAUAUCGCAAUUCUUCAUCGGCAACUAAAUGCUUGAAGGAAUCCCAACUGUUCCGCUCAUCAGCAGCUUCAUAACCACUCAAGGUUUUAAACUGGCGAGCACCUGAUACCAAUGCAUCUUCAUCUGACCCUCCAUUCAAACAAGUUUCAGCUUUAGGAUCUUCCAUAGGCUUCGGGUUUUCAGCUAGAUGGACUUUAACAAAUAUGUGCCCCCGUUCUGUAAACUGUCAAACACUCAUUUUUAAGUCAUUAUCAAUUUAUUAAAUGAAAUUUUAUAUACAAUAAUCAGUCAAAUAGCAGAAACUAAACUCAAUAAUGCAAUCUACUAAUAAGAUCAAAACUUCCAUCAAUUAAGUAGAUAGCAAUCUACCUACAAAAUUGGCAAAAGGAGAGAAGGUUGAGCACCCACUUACUUUAACAGAGUUCCCAACAAGAUUCGUAAUUAUCUGUCUAAAUCUCCCUGGAUCCCCCAUAACCAUUUCAGGAACUUUAUCAGAAACAAACACUGCCAGCUUCAGUUCCCAAACAAUUACAACGAGUUUGAGUCAUUGUAAUGUAUCACAAGUAACACCAUUUAUUGACAUCAACAACGCCACCAAGACAUGGAAAGGAAAAGGGAAAAGAGAAGGCAAAUUAGUUCAAGCAUUAUAGGAACUGUCUAAAAUGAAGAAGCAUAUUGAACAAUGCACUGUGUUUUCUAUUAAUUUUAUCCAGACUUACCUCAACACCUUUGUUUCUAGACUUCUCAGAAAAUAAAGAGAGCACAUCAUCUAGGAUAGACCGAAGGUCAAAGGGGACAGUUUCCAGCUCCAACUUUCCAGCUUCAAUUUUAGCACGGUCAAGCACCUCAUUUAUCAAUGUUAUCAGUGCCUUUCCACAGACUUGAGCAGUUUGAGCAUAAUCCCUUUGUGUUGAACUUAAAUCAGUAUCUAAAAGCAAAGCAAGCAUCCCUGCAACCAUUCAAGAUUUCAUCAGAACAUUGCUGAUUAAAAUUAUUUGAUGUCCUUGAAUGUAUAUUUCACAUAGAAAACCUUAAGGAGCAAUCUGGAACAUACCAAGGAUGCCAUUCAUGGGAGUCCUGAUUUCAUGAGAAACUGUUGCCAAAAACUGCAACAAGAACGCAUCAUAAUUAGUUUUAGCUUGGAAGUGGGUGGUCAACCAUGUGUUGAUAGAUAUAUCUUGAAAUACAUACCUGUGAUUUGGCCACAUCAGCAGCUUCUGCUCGAACCUUAAGCUCUUCCAUUUCAUGGAAAUCAUCUUCAACUUUAACAAUGUGUAUUGCUGCACCAUAUAAGAUAUAGCCAACCAAUAAGCAGAUCACGAAGAAUAAGAAGGCCGUGGUCAGCGCAGUCCAUGAUGUGGGUGCCUUCUGAUGAUAUCUGCUCAGAAGGCCAAAUAGUAAGUGCUUGCAAAAAUAAAUGCAGUCAUUCCAUCAACCUUGUGAAUAUGUAGCCAGUUAUACACUUACCUACAUAUCAUCUGAUGCUUCCUGAAUGGAUCUCCAAAAUCAAGCUUGCUUUCAUGCAAUAAAGCCAGGUCACCAUCUUGAUUUUGGUGACCAUACAUGAUCAAGUGAUCAGAAGAAUUAGUAAUAUCAUAUACAUUCACUAGGAUUGCCUGAUUUCCAGCAAGUUGCCCAAGUAAAUUCUCCACAAGUGACUCCACAUCAAAUGCACCACCAAGGUAUCUGUGUUUAUUUAAAAGUUUUUUUAUGCAUAAGAAAAUCUAAGAUGCAAAAAUAAAGAAGUGUAGUAACUGAAGCAAUCCCCCCCCCUUGGGAUGUAUUUCUAUCCAUUGUAAUAACUGGAAGUCUAGUUAGCCAGAAAAAUAGUAGCACAAAGAAAAUGUUAUGAAUGUCAAACUCAAAUUUACGGAGAAACUAGAAAUGUCCAGUGCCAGGAACAAGUGAUGUAAAGAUGGUAAAGGUGCUUAUGUGGCACCAACAGAAGUACUGGCAACUGUAUCUGGUCAAGGAGCACCAAAUUGCUGGUGUUGAUCACAAUGAAACAAUAAAUGUCAGUGGAAGCAAAAAUGCUGAUAUCAGCAGCAUAACCAUGAUUAGGUCAUAAAGUAGCAAAUACCCUAGAAAUAUAUUGAGGUGGUCGUAUGAGUCACUUUGGACCAUCUGGUGUCAAUGGUCUUGCUCUCCAGACUCUCAAUAGGAAAAAGGAGAUGAAAGUUUCUGAUUGUCCACUAAAUGAAGAAUAGAAUCUUUUCGGCUAACUUAUAUACGAUCAAAUAAACUUCAACAGAAAUCACAUAAAAGUCUAAACCUUUUUCCCCUUGACAUGUGCACUCUAAUACAACUGCAGUUGCUAUAGACUGCAAACUCUCAUCAUCAACACUUUCAAACUAUCUAGUGCCAAAUACAUUCGCUAACUUUCAAAAGCAAAAGCUUAAAAGAAAAGACCAAGCACAAAAAGGGUUUCAAACAAAAAAAAAAAAACUUGGAUUUCCAAUUAGAAAGACAAGCUGGAGUACUUACCCAGCAGUUGCUUCAAUGCGCUCUUGCUCAGUAGGACUCGGUGGGAGCUUGGAUUUGUAAACAGGGAAUGUCAACACAACACCAAGAUGAUGAGAGCCCAGUAACCUGAAGGGGCUAGUUAGGACAGCUUUCCCAGUAGCCCUAGCCCUUAAUAUGUUUUCUCGAUCCUCCUGCACAUUGGAACAUGGAUAUUACCACUCCAAUCUAAUCCUGAACCAAAUAUCAGACCAAAGGUAAAGAUAAAACUUAUAAGCAGAUUGUAGGUAACAGCAUACCUCCCCCGACAUCAUGUCAAGCGAUUCGAUGUAAGAAACAGUUUCUUGAGAGAAAAUCACAGGGGCAUAUUCAUCUCGAAUAGGAGAAGGUUCCCUCUUCAUUGUCUUUAUUGUCCACCCAUGCUGCCUCUCAAAAUUCUCCCUCUCAGAAUGAACUACUCUUUCCGCAUAGGCCACCCCACUAAGCAAUGGCCUCUCAAAAGCAGUUCUAGCAGUGUACUCCGCAAAAGUCUCCUGCAUUUCUUGCAAAGAACAAAAAUAGCCCAAAGUGCACAAUCAGAAACUCACACAAAAGAUGAACAAGAAAAAUAUUUCACCAUUGGAUGUCAACAUCAACCAAACUCAGAUUUUCAGAGGCCAUAUGUCUAACGAAAAAACAACAAAUGUAAAACUUUAAAUUAAAUAGAAAUUUCAAAAUAUCAGGACCCCAUAAAUUCCACAGAAAAGAAGGAAAACAAGAUCAAACUUCAGGAACAACCUGAUCAAUAGCAGAUGGAUCCUUGUAGUAAUGAAAAGUGGAGACAAGAAUGGCCAGGGCAUGAACAUGGUUAACACUAACACUGAAUUGAUCCUGCAACAUCCUUGCCCUUUGAUCACACAUGCUACUCAACACCUCCUUCCUCCUUACUUUGUUGUCAGCAUCCAUCUUUUUGUAGAUCCAAGUGCUGAGAAAAGCCAUCACCAUUACCCAAAGCAACAAAAAUUUUGGUAACCAAGCCCUGUUAGCUUGAAUAAAUGUGUACCCUCUUUUGGUCCCCAUUUGUUCAUUCACUUUCACAGUCACUGAGUGGUGGUAGCUCUGUUGCAACUUAAGACCCAUCAGCAAAAGAACAAGAUCGGCUCAACUUGUUUCUCCAUGUCUUCUUACUUUUCUUCUUUCUUUGAUACUACCCCCUUCAUAUCUGAGCAAGAAAAAAUCCCCCAAGAAAACAUGCAUACACCAUAACUAAGGUAACUUUCUUGUAAGUACAGGCCAUUUCAACAAAUACCCUUUUUUCCUGCACUGGAACAUGAUGAGCUAAAACUUCAAGUUUUAUGUAUCAUCAUAGCAUUGUUUUGCGUGAUAAAGAACCAAAAAGUUGGAAAAAUAAUUACAAGCUAGCACGAAGAAAUGGACCAAAGAAAUAAAUUUUUCACAUCACAAGAAGAAGAGAAGAAAAGGAGAAGGGAGACUCAGAACUCAAGAAAGAGAAAAACUUUUCAACUCUCAAGAGACAAGCAUGGCUCUCAAAAGAUGUAAAACAGCUCAAAUUCCCAAGAUAUCUCACUAUCUCCCUCUACAAAAAAUUGGCUUCUUUUCUCUGUUUUAUCUCUUGCCAUAUAAAAAAAUUGGAAAUUUCACGGAGGAAAAAUACACUAAUCAUUUUCUUUUCAAAGCGUGAGAGUGUUGUUUUAGUUUAAGACUGAAAGACAAAGAAGAGCACGUUCACUGUAUUUCCCCCUAUAUUAAAAUCACAUUUUGCAGAUUGACCAGCAAACACUCACUCGCUCUCACAGCAAAGCACAACAAGGCGAAGACCAAAUACAUUAAAACCCAAAAAAUAAAGAACAAAAAAAGUAAGAUCUUUGGAGUGAGAAAUGGGGUUAUUUGAAAGAUAACAAUAUUUACCUACACACCUAGUACAUAAAUCAUUUUUUUUCUUUAAAAAAAUACAGAACCAAUGUUAUUCUUUGGUUCUCCUUUGUUCUAUGCUUUUCUUUUAAUUUAUUAUUGUUGUAAUGGUAAUGAAAUUUUUCAAAGUUUUCAACUUUCUUCUUUUCUUUUUAAAGUGAAGUGAAUCGAAGUUCUAGGAUUUUUGCACAUAUGCUGCUGUCUCCCUCUACACUAAACCCACAUUAGCUACAACACUUACUAUUUAAAGCGAGUUCAAAAAUUAAUCUUUCACAUUCAGAUAAAUUAAAAGUUCAAUAAUUAAUUUUCCGUAUUUAAUAGAUUCAUUAAAUGAUAGAUAUAGGUCACGAGUGUUAAAACUAUUUCAUACUUAAAGUAAGGAUCAAACCACUAUUCACUGAUUAAGAUAAAAAAAAUUAUUAUCAUCUCACCCUAACUCUCGUGAUUUAAACAAACUUUUAUAACGCUAAUAAAAUAAUCUUCCUCAUCCUAAACUUUAUAUUAAAAAAAAUUGGUGAAAUGGGAUUUACUUUAUAGGGAAGUCCAAAGGGUUUCAUUCAACUUGCGAUAUGAUUUUGUUUUUGAUUCCUUCUUAUGGGUUUACUUUUCUCCUUUAACGUAUGCGAAAGAAGGAAAAUAGGAUUAGAGAAAAUAAAGAAAAAUAAUAACUUAAUAACUUAAAAAAUACUAAAAAUAAUAUUAUAAUAAUUAAUAUAUUAAAAUUUAUUAUAAAUAUAUAAUAUUUUAAAUUAUUACAUUACAAAAAAAAUAAAAGUACAUUAACUAUAUAUUUAGAAUUAAAUAUAAAAAAUAUAAAUAAGUGUAGUAAAAUAAAAAUAAAAAGAAUAUGAGGGAGAGGGUCCAAAAAUCACAAUCACAUAUCUUAGAGAUAAUGACAUGGCGACAAGCCAAAGGAUCUCCCUUUUCUUUUUCUUUUUUCUUUUUUCUUUUUUCAUUCACGUCCAAAUAAAAAUACAUUAAAUAUCUUAAAAUUUUAUAAUAUCUGAAUUUAAAUUAGCAUAUUUUUCACAUUAAACCUUUUUAUUAUUGCCUAAAUCCAAUUUAAAUAAUAUUAAUCACUUAAUUUAAUAUCCAUUACCAUCCAAUUUCCCCUCCUCCUUUAUCAACUUUGCUCAAAAAAACUACUUGAAAAUAAAAGAAUAUAUCAAUUAAGUCUUAGUUCGAUUGUCAUAGGCAUUAUUGUCAAUGCAGAAGGAUACGAGUUUGACUGCGUUCAAACAUAUUAUCCUCCUAUUUAUGGGUUGGGAAGGUAUUAUGGGUAGUUCUAGGUAUUGUGUCAAAAAGAGUAGAUAUGAUUAGAACCUAUAAUUAGAUUGUUUAAAAAAAUGGAAAUGAAAGAAUACUAAAAAUGUUAAAUUAUAUUUUAAAACUUGUUAUUUGAUCAUCGUGGCUAAAGCAUAGUUAAAUUAUUUUAAAACUUUAAUUUAGUUAUUUUUAGUCCUUAUAUUUUUAAUUUUUUAAAAUUUUAGUUUUCACCAAAUGGUGGAGACUAAAUUGAUUAAGUUAAGUUCUGCUAUUUUUAAAAUCUGAAGCGGCAAACAUAUUAUCGCACAUGUAAUAUCAAGUCAGCUUUUUAUUUUCACAUAUUACUCUCAAAAAAAUCAGUUAAUAGAUUUAAGUAUUGUCAUUUGUAUUAAGAUUAAAAUUUCAAAAAUUGAAAAAGUAUACAACUAAAAAUGAUCCAGCUGGAGAAUAUAGACUAAAUCUACAACUUUGUGCAUGAUAUAAGACUAACAGCAAAAUUAAACCAAAUAAAUUUAACUACCAUCAUUGGGUCAGGACUAAAAUUUCAAAAUUCGAAAAGUACAAGGACAAAAAUUGACCAGUUCAAAAAAUAUAAAGAUUAAAAUUGAUCAAAUUAAAGUACAGGUACUAAACCCACCACUUAAGCAAAGUUAAGGAUCUAAUAACAAAUUUUGACCUAUUUUUAAUUUUUUACUUAUACCAAAUAAUAACUCUCAAAAUGCAACAUCACGGUUAAAUUUAUCUUUACUCAUUUAAAACGAUAAUUAACACUUUUAUUAAACACUCAUUUGAUACGAGUUCAAACCGUUUGAUCUUAACCUCAUCCUAAUAUAAAAUAAAAUAAAAAUAUCACAGAUACAUUUAACAAGAUAAAAUAAUACAAAAUUCACACAUGUUUGUUUUAAAAUUUGAUAUUUAAAAUUUUAUUAUUUGAAAUACUACUCUAUUUUUGAUAGCUGUACCUAAAACCCCAUUUUCCAAAGAAUCAAAUAUACAUGCUAAGCUGGCUUUGAUUUCACAUGUAUUAAACAAGAUUUGAUUUUAAUCAUGACCAUAGUUAGGACAAAUUUCUUAAUUAUAUGUUAUGUUGAUGCUUGCCACAUAGCAUGUUUGCUCUAUGUGCUUUUCCUUUUUUUUCUGUUCAUAUAAUUUCUGGUUGGAUAAAGUAGAAAAGAAGAAAAUAUUCUGGUGAAGAGGAAGAUAAAAAGUAUCAUUCCUAAAGAGCCAACCUCUUUAUUGGGCUUUUAAAAAUGUAUAUAAGGUGACUUCUUUCGAAUCGAAUUUUGGGUUAGAUCCCGGAUCGAGUUAAAAUAUAUAGUUUAUAACACUUUCUUUCUUUAUUAUUAUUAAUUAAAAAAGUUUUAGUUUUGAAAAGUAUUCAAAGUUGUCCUUUGGAUGUGCUAAAAUUUCCCAAUGAGGAACCAUCACAAGACAUGGAAUUAGGAUGGUUAUUGACCAAAUUUAGUUUCAUGUGAAUUUUUUAGUUAUUGCUUUUUAAUUUUAAAAUAAAGGUAUACCGAUGUUGUAAAAUGCAAAAAGAUUCAAACUCAUCGUAUUCAAUCGGUUUAAUUGCGUAACAAAAUUAAAAAAAAUAUUUUUUUAUAAAAUUUAUAAAAAAAAAUUAAAAAAGGAAAGUUACACAAGUAAACACAAUUCAUGUUAAAAAUUCUAACAACAAAAUUAAAAUUUUAAAUUAGCUUCAAUCCAAUUUAGACGAAUUUUUAAUUAAUUUAAUUUUUUUAUUUAAUUAUUUUUUGAUUUUAUAAUAUCAAUUAGACCAUCAAUUUUUUAUCCAGUUGAUCCGAUGCGAUAUUUUAUUAAAUACCAAAACUCAAUGAACCGCAUCAUGUCACUGAAGAAGAUGGCAAUAAAAGAUAGUGGAAUAGGGAAGAUUGUUAAUUUAAAUGAAGUACAAGAAGUUUAGUUUUCCGUAGUCAAAUCUUAAUUAAGCACAUUUAUGAAAGUAUUGCUUGAUAUGGAUAAGAUUGGCUUAGCUAUGGUCAAAUAACCCAUAGUUUGCCAUCUACCUCCUUUAACUAUAUCUUAAUUUAAUAACACACUUUGUACGGAAUUUGGAGAUGCAUCAAACAAUUGUAAAGUCACAAGUCUCGUGUUCGCAUACUUAACCAUACAUACUCGUACUUUCCAACUACACCUUAACCAUUUGGAAAUUUGAUUAUUUUUUGUUUUAAUUAUCAAAUGAUUAAAUAAUCCUAUGUUACAAAAAUUUGACUGGGCAGUGAAAGGUGUGGGUGAGUAGCAUGUGGGGGUGGGUGGGUAGUGAAUAGAGAAUCCCCACAAAAACCCGUAACUUUCCAUGAGAGAGAGAGAGAAAAGAGGUAUAUAUUUGGUUGAAUAAAUGAAUGAAAAUGAUGAUAAUACUCACAUGGGGCAGGUGGUUGCUUCCUCCAACAGCAUCCCUGGGGUCUGUACAUCACCUCUGCCUAAUUGGUUGAAUUAGGAUUUUGCAAUGCAAUUGGCCUUCCCCUGCCCCUGCCCUACCCUGCUCUGCUCUGCACCCUACCUAUUCAUCUUAUGCUCUCUGAUGUGGUCCCAAUAUCUCCUUUUCUUUGCCUUUCAUCCAACCAAGUGAUGCUCUCCCCUCAUGUGGAAAUAUAUUUCCCCCACUCCCAUCCUUCCUUCCUUCCUUCAUUAAUUAUCUUUUCACUCCCAUUUUUACCUUACUCUAAUUAAUAUUCCAUGAUUUUGUCUUCACAAAUAAUUUCAUGAGUUGGAUUAAAUUCGAAUAGAGCAAUUAUACAUCAUUAUUAUAAUUUAAGUUACGAUUGUAUUAUUAAACAUAAUUUAUAAAAAAUAGAUUGAUUUUCUGAAAGAAUUAAUAUUUUCUGAUGUUUAGAUGUUUUUAUAUAAAAUAUUUCUCGUUAUUUGGUAAUUUAAACACAAACAUAAAAUAUGUAUAACUGGUGAGUUGAUUUCACAAAAAAAAUUGAAAAUAAAAUUGUUUUAUAAGAUAAAUUAUUUUAUAUAAAAAUGAAUUAAUAUUUUUUCAUUACUAAAACCCAAAACUUCUUAUUAAUUCAUUUCUAGAAAAUUAGGAUUGUGACUAAUCCCUAAAAAAAUUAAAAUUGUGGGUUUUUUUUUUGUAAUAGAAUAAGAUUUUUUAUGUAAAUUUUAGUUUUCUAUUUAUUGAAUAAGUUUAGGAUAUUGAUUUUGUACGUUAUUCCUAACAUCUUGAGUGGGUCAUAGUUUUUAGAGGUUUAUUAAUACAAAUCAUUGAAAAAUUAGGACCAAUUGUAGUUAUAGUCUUGAAUUUCUUAAUGUUGAUUAAAAAUUUAACAUUUUUAUUCAGAAAUAGUUGUUGUCAAUGUGAUUAUUGUGAAUCCUAUAUUCGAAAAUUUGACAUAUUGUAUUCUCAUUACACCAUGAUUUUUAUUUUUGAAAUAAUAUUACUUGUAUACUAGCUUCGUGAAAACCCUUGUGUUUAAAGCCUAGAUUUGUUUGUUCUAAGUUUUUUAUUUUCGUUGGUUGCAAGUGUGAAAAUAAUAUUUUUUAGCAACUGAAAUUGUGGAAAAUUGUUUGUGGGAUCAAAUUGGAGAUCAAUGGAUGAGUAAUUGUUUAAUUACAUAUGUUGAGAAAGAUAUUUUUAACAACAUCGACGAGGAAAAGAUAAUUCAAUGAUUUUAACAUAUGAGAAAAUUGUUUGAGGGAUCAAAUUGAAGAUCAAUAUAUGAGUGUUUGCUUUUAGUGUAGUGUUUUUAGUCAUACCACACAGUAUCUAAUUUCACCACUAUACCAUAUGUAAACGUACCAGUCAUCCAAAACGAGUGUUAGGCACACAAUUAAGAAAGAAAAGGGAAGAAAAUCCCACCGUCCUAGUGUUGGAAUAGCUUGAAAAUCAUGUGUUCAAAACUCCCACAAUAUAUAUGGGGAUUGGUUUGGCAUUGGGCGUCUGAACACGACAUAGUUGUGUGCUAUUCUAGUCUUGAUAAUCUCGAAAAUCUCAAAAAGCAAUCUUAAUCAAAUCUUGGGUGUAAUCUCCUCUACUAUCUAACAUAUCUAUAAUGUUUGAUGUAAUGGUCAACUUUUCCAUACCCAAUGCGUAUUUAAGUUUCCCAAAGUCUUUAAAUUUUCAUUACAACGCUACCAAAAGGAAUCAUGUCUAUGUCAUACCCACACCCUCUUCCAUUUCUAUUCUUAAUUCAAUGCUACAACUUUUCCCCUCAUCCACUUGUAUUCCAUAUUUAUCAUUGCUUCUUUUUCCUUUUUGAAAACAUAAUUUCAUCAACGUUUGGUAGUAAUUAAAUUAAAGACUCAUUUAACUCGUCUUCGAUAUAUAAAAAUGUGUGAACUUUUUGGAUUAUAAUGAAAUGACUAAACCUCAUAGGAAAAAUCUCAAACAUUUGAAUGACUCAAUAUCCUAUUCUUAAUAAAAAUUGGUGAAUUUUUCUAACUAAAAUUGAAUCCGAAUCAUUACAAGUCUAGUCUUGAAUUACUAGGACUGCCUCCAUACUAUCAGUCUGAAUUAUCACAUUAUUAUAACUCCGCUCCAAAAGAAGUGAUAAUCCAUCUAUGAUGCCCCACAACUCAGUCUCAAUAACAAAACAAAAUCCCAAAUACAAAUUAUAACUUAGGAUCUAUUUUUCAUUUCGGUCCCGCAAAACUCCCCCAACUUAUUGAGAAAGCCCAAAUAGAACAAAUUAAAGAUAUGAUGACCAUUUUGUAAUCAAUCCAUUCCUUAGAUUAUCAUUAUGCUUUUUCACUCUUUCCUCCAAGGGCUACAACAAUGGAAGGACCUUUUUUCCCGACUUCUUUGACUCUAAAAUCAUUUUUUUUCACCUUUUAGCCGCUACCAAAAUCUCAAUAACCAACCAAGUGAGCCUUGACUUUAAACAAAUUAAUAAUUUUUUUAUUUAGUCCUUUAAAAUAGUAAAAUAAUAAAAUUAUAUUUUUAACACUCGUAAAACAUACAAUUUAACUAUAUCCUCGUAUCAAAUAUACAUGUGGGUCUAGUGUGAAAAGCAAGUUGGGAAGAUGGAAUAAAUAAUGUUGUGGCAAAAGGGAAUGGGUCCAAGCCCAAAAAUGACAAGGUUUUUUAACCUCAUAUAAUUGCACCUUUCAACUUUUUAAUUUCACUCAUUGGAAACCCUUUUCUCUGUUCUUAUGAACUUUAUUCUUUAAAUCACAAGCAUCCAUUUCUUUAAUCUUGCAAGUUGAAAACUUAAUCAUGAAUGGUGAGACUUAUAAUUGAAUUUUGCAAUGGACUUUUACCACUUACCAAGAUUCCCUAUAUCUUCCUAAUCAUUGCCCAUACUUGGGUUCAUGAAUUUUCUACUGAUUUUUUUCUUCUUCUUGAGACAUGGAAGAAGACUUUGUUAAGACUAACAUAGAAAUGUGGGGUUAGGGUUUGUAAGUGAGUAGGUAAAACAAAAGCAUCUGUGGUUGGAGCUGAGGCAUACAGUUCCCAAAUUGUUGAAGGUGACACAACAGUUGGGACAACCCAGAAAUAUUAUGUUACCAGCCUACCAGUUUGGUAGAAACCAUGAUAACAUAUUUGAACCCAUAGAUCAAAUCAUUUAUACUUUGUACUUUAGCAGAAUAAGUUUUGUGAGUUCCAUUAAUACAAAAAAAGAACAGAUUGACAGGACAGAGAAGAUAUAUGUUCCAUUUGGACAUUAUCUUAGAUCAAUGUACCAAAUUGAAAUAGAUGAGAUAGAACCCAAGCAAUGCAACUGGAUCCAUGGACCAGAUAAUGGGCUAAAUCCUAAACCAUUGAUAGAGCCACUCUUCUGUUCUAUUCUAAAGGGAUUUCCUUGAAGAAAAGCUGAAAUAUCCUGCUGACGAUGGACCAAAGAUAAGACCGGAAUUCCUUUUUUAUCUCCUUUCUGUUUUCUUUUAUAUAGAAUUUAAUUUAUUAAUAAUUUUAGGAUAAAUAUGAAAAUUACAAAUAAAUUUUGGUUAAAUUUACAAUUUUUGUGUUUUUAUAUACAUCAAAUUUUAAUUUAUUUUAAUCUAAUCUAAUUUUUACGUAUCACUAAUACUAUUAUCUAUGUAACGCUCUUUUCCAUUUAGUGACGUGAAAAAUGAUAAUUUAGUAUUUUUAAUAAAUUAAAAGAUAAAUUAAUAAAAUUGUUUCACAUAAACACAGACUAACAAUGUUAGUGUAGUUGAAAUUGUAAAGUUGAGAUGUUAAAAGAUCAUAAUGUUUCGGGUUUGAAUUCCAUCCUGUGUAAAUAUUUUUCUAGAUUUUUAUGAAAAGACAAAACUGACAUUUAAAUAAUAUCUAUUGCUUUGUAAAAAUAAGGGACUUUUCGUAACUUUACGAUUAAGUUGGAAUCCAAUUGGUGACUGAUACAAACUCGAUUAAAAUAUUAAAUACGAUACUAGAUUAUGACACACCCAUCCAUGUGGGUGAAAAACACAACCAUGUAACAAAUAUAUUUUUACAAAAUUAAUAUAAAUAACAAAUGAAAAUUUGGUUUGAUGGAAAAGUAUAAAUGUUGAAAAUAUAGAGUUUUGGGUUCCAACUUUAUUAAGUGUAUAGGUUUUGCUAUUUUUUUAAGGUAAAAGAUAUAAAAUGAUAAAAACACGUGUUACAAGGGAGGGACCCACAAAGUAAUUUUACACUCUUAAUAUAUUUUUAUACCAUUAAUAUUUUGACAAUCCAACCGUCAUAUUUUAUAUUUCAUUCAUAUGAAUCAUGUAUGUCAAAUUUGAGUAAAUUAAAAUUUUCUUACUAGUUUUAUGUAAGCCACUUUCAAUCGUUUAAUAUGUAUAUAUAUAUAGUAUUUUAGAUCUCUAUGAUAAAGAUGUUAGUUCGGUUCGAAAUUUACAUGCAUGAUAUGUAUAAUUAUAUUGAUAAAUUCAAUGUUUGAAUCGUUAAAAUAUUAAUUGUAUAAAAAUGUACAAAAUUACACCAUUGUGUAAGUGGAUCCCUCCCCAUAUCUAUAUAUCCAUGCCAUAUAUUUAGGGGCUAACUAAGUUGGUGUCACCCCUCAAUUAGUCCGCAACUUAGUUAAGAAAUUACCAAAAAUUUAUUUAUUUUACAAAGUAGCAAUUACUAUUUUGAGGGUGUUUAUGUCUUCUUAUAUUUUGAUAAAUAUAUAGUAUACAUUAAGAGAUUGGCUGAUUGGUGUCACUCUUUAAUUUGAUCUCAACUCAGUUAGGAAAUUUCCAAAAUUUCAUUUAUUUUAUAAAGUAAUAAAUUUUAUUUUAAGGCAAUUUCUAUCUUUUUAUAUUUUUAAAAAAUAUUUUUUAUAAGAAUUUUUUUUAUAAAUUUGUUACAUAAAUAUUUUCACCCACACCAUUGGUGUGACAAAAUCUAGUUAUAUUUAAGCCUUUGAUUGAGUUAGUGUCAUGAGUCAAUUGAACACCAACCCAAUAGAAAAAUGAUUAAUUUUUUUACAUAGUAACAAAAUAUUUCUAUAAUGAUGUUUUUUUAUUUUAUAUUUUUAUAUAAAAUCUAUAAAAAUAAAUUUAAAUCGAAAAUAAAAUUUAAAAAAUAUUUACAUACGAUCAAACUUAAAUUUACUAGGAUUUUCAAAUCCUCAACUUUACGAUUUCAACCAAAUCUCGUUUAUUUUUUACAUAUUCUUUUAUCCAUGAGCCAUAUCUUUUAAAUUAUUAGUUUUAGUUUAAUAGUGUAAAAUAUCUUAUAAUUUAUUUACUAACACAAUUUUAGUAUGUAUAAUAUAUGUUGAGGCUGAAUGAGCUGAGUAGCACUCAACAGUGUCCACUACAAACUGCCACUAAGGCAGUGAAAUUAUUUGUUGUAUUUGAGUUGACAAUUAAAUAAAGAAAAUAUUUAGAUUAGUUAAUGUGUUGUUAUUUUGAAGAUACCAUGGUCAAUGUAUGAAAACCAAUAAUUGGCUAUUGAAGAUUGGGAUUGGAUUCGAGUGGAUCAAUUCAAUCCUUGAAAUGUGAAGAUUCAAUCGAGAUUGUGUUGUUGAUUUCUGGAAUUCAUAUCUUCGAUUGAUUAUGCUUUGCAUGCUUAUGUUGUAAUAGCUAUUUUCAAGGAAUUACUUCAUAUUUACUUAGAUUCUAUGUUAGCAAACCCAAAUUUGAUAUAUGCUUUGAGAUUUGUCUAAGUUAUGUAAUGAGAGUUUAUUAAAAGCACUUGUAUCUGUUCAUUGAGGAACUGUUUUAUUAGUAAGUGCAAGAAUUGUAAACAUCGAGUGUUUAUUGACCAAGUUCUUAGGGAGAUGAUUUGGAGGAGAAUGUUCUAAUCUUUAGAUAAAAAUGUGAGAUCUCUAUACUUGGAGAGUGAUAGAGUGCGCAUCACUUGUUAUAUUUGUAAUUAAAGAUAGUGGAAUUACUCACUGAGCUAAGCUCCAUAAACGUAGAGAAACCGAAUUGCAUAAACAAACUUUUGAUAUUCUUUAUUUUUGUUUGCGCAGUUUUCAACAAUGUCAAGCCAUAAUGAUCAUUGCAAUCAAGACUUUCAUUAUUUAUAUUAAAUUUCGAUAAACAACACAAUAUUCAUUAUUUAUAUUAAAUUUCGAUAAACAAAUAAAUAUAUAUCAACUAUUUCAAAGGGUAAAAAUAUAAUAGUAAAAUGUGAGGUUGGAUCAAGUGGAAGAAGCUAUACCAAAACUAUCCUGCUCCAUCACUCACCUGCAUUUUUUUUUUCAUUCGAAGUGAAUCAAUGCAAAAUCUGUGAAUAGAUUGAGUUUGACAUCAUUAAUCUAUUCAUCUUAAAUGAUUAUAAAAUUAUAAUAUUUUGUUAUUUUUUAAAUAAUUUUAUUAUAAGUUUCGUUUCGAUUAUAUUUAAUUUUUUAUAAUAAUAUCUAAAAUUAUCUAUAGCCCCUCCCUAACCCAUAAAUAAGAAGAUAAUAUACUUCUGCGCACUUAAACCCAUGUCCUCCCGUAGUGAUAACAAUACCCAUACUAAUCGAGUUAAGACUCGACCGACCAUUUCGUUCCUUUUUAAAUGAGAAAAAGAAAAAUAAAUAAAUAUAUACAACGUAGACAUAAAAAUUGAAUAUAUACAUAUGAAAAAGGGUAUGGAAUAUAAUUAAAGAAAAUGGGAAUGGACCAUCUUCAUUUCUUUUAGCAGCAACACAUGCAUUGAGAUGGUGACGAGACCAGAUGAUAUUUAAAAGGAAGUCCCAGUGACACGUACGUACUAUAGUACUUGAAUAUCAUACCAAAAAUAUUUAAAAUUCUAUUCAUAAAUCGAGUUAUAUAAAGUGUGAAGGCUUACUUAAAAUGUGAGAUGAUUUGAAUAAAAGUACGAGGAUCAAAAAAUAGAAUUAAGCAAAAUAAACUUAAGUUAGUCAAUAUGUAGACAAGUUUGAAAAAAAAAUUAGGUCCAUAUUUUAGGUUAGGUUAGAUCAGGGCGAACCUAAAUAUAGUAAUAUUUCACAUGGGUUCGGCUCAGCUCAUGAACACCUUUAGUCAUAAGUCAUAACCCAAAUAGUAAUAGUUAAAUUUGCUAGGUCAAAUUCCCGUACUAUGCAUAAUUUAUAGAUUUAGUCUUUGUUCUCUAAUUAGACCAUUUUUAGUUUCUAUACUUUUCAAAUUUUAAAAAUUUAAUCUUAACUCAAACGGUAGUUGUUAAAUCUAUUGGCUAAAAUGAUGUGUAUUUUUUUCCCCUUUGUGAAUAUUAUGUGGAAAUAUCAAGUUGGCGUGGCAUUCCACGUGCCACAAAACGUUUUCUGCAUAAGAUUUUGAAAAUAGCAAAAUUUAGCUUUACGAAUUUAAUGACACUAUUUAAUCAAGACUAAAUUUCAAAAAUAAAAUUGAAAAGUACAACAACUAAAAACAAUCAAAUUAAAGUACAGAAAUUAAAUACACAACUUAUAUAUAUAUAGUACAAGGACUAGUAUCAAAUUUUGACCUAUGAAUUUUUUUUUAUAUAUUGUCAUUGAAUUUUUUUAGAUAUCACAAGCAAGUAUUAAAAACAGACACGUAUACCAUUUAGAGUAUAAUAAAACAUAAAUAUAUUAUAUAUUAAAAAUAAAACACGUAACAAAAUCUAUUUACAAUAAUGAUGUGUAUCAAAUAUUAAGGGUGGUUUAGAUAGGCGGUAGGGUUAAGCUUACUUCUUGUCUCAUGCUACAUUAUUUAAUUUUAUCGCCACCAUUAUUUUUACACUAACUACAAAUAAACGCAUUGUCCAUCCAAACCAACCCAAUCCUCCUUAUAAAUAAAUACAUAUAAAAUAACAACUUAGUGAAGUUUGACUCAUUUACUUUUUAGCACAACAAUGAUUAUAAUUGGAAUCCAGCUCAAUUCAACUUAGGUAGAUAAUAUCUUUUUUAUGUAUUAGUGGCAUCUUUUGAUAGAUGUUAAUUUUUUAAAUUUUGUGAUCACAAUUUACUUUUUAAUAAUAUAAAAAUUAUAUUCCAUUUUUAUCAUAGUUUUAGAUCCCCAUAUUUUCAAAUUGGGUUUAAUUCAUGUUAAUUUCGUUUUUUUAUAUUAUGUUUUUUUUAAAAAUUUGAAAUUUCAGUUAUGAUUAAAUAAUAAUUAUUAAAUUCGUUAAGAUGGUCAUUUUUAAUUUCCAUAUUUUUAAAAUUGUGAAAUUUCAAUCCUGACCAAACGAUAGUUAUUAAUUUUGUCAAGUUAAAUUAUAUUAUUUCUAAAAUAUUAUGCAACAAACCUAUCGUUACAUGUGUAAUACAAUGUCAACUUGUUAUUUCAUAUAAUACUCGCAGAAAACCCAUAUUAUUUUAGUUAAUGGAUUUAAUGGCUAUUGUUUUAGUUAGGAUUGAAAUUUCAAAUUUUAAAAAACACAGGGACUAAAAAUGAUCAAAUUAAAACAAAGAUUAAAAUGGCAACUUAUGAAACCAAUUGCAGAAUUUAACAUAAUGGAUUUAGCUAUUACUAUUUGGUUUAAGAUUAAAAUAUCAAUCGAAAAGUAUAGGUACUAAAAUUGAUCAAAUUACAGUAAAAUUAUUAAAUCCACAAUUUAUGUAUAGUAAAAUAAAUAUAUACAGUUAAUAAAUAAAAUUAAAUAAGAAAUAAGCUUCAGGCUUAAUGGUUAAGAGAUAGCUUCCCUCCUUUGUGAUCCCAAGUUUGAACCCCUCUUUUCUUUUUUUAUUUCAUAAUUCUGCCAAAACAUAUUUUUUAUUAAAAAAUAAACAAGAAAUUAAAUAAUAGGCUCAAUGGUUAAGGCAUUUAUUCUCCUAGAAGUCUUAGGUAUAAACCCCAUUUCUUUCUCUUUUAUUUUUGGCAACCUCAGAUAAAAGCCACAACAAAACAUAUACUGUCAGGAAUAAAAACUAAUAAGAAAUAGGCGACAACCCAAUGGUUAAGCACUAGUUUCCCCAUUGAGAACUUGAGUUUGAGCCUCCUCCCUUUUCAUUUUAAUUUCAAAUUUCGGCAAAAUAUUGAUAAAAUUGCAAGUGCAACCCCUAGGGUUCACAAACCCUAGGAAUUGACCCAAUUCUUUCCUAAUUAAAAUUCAUAUCUUGCCCUUCCUAAAAAUUUAAAUAGAAUUAGAAUUCUAUCAUCUUUUUCUCUUUUUUUCCUAAUUAGAUUUUCAUAUUGCCCCUUUUCAAAUCCUAAUAGAAUUUGCUCUCCAUCUUUUUAUUUAUUCUCUAUUUAUUUUCUUUCCCUUUUUUACACCAUAUUUUCAUCUUCAUUAUUGAUAAUUAUUUUGCUUUCUCGAAUCAAAUCAUCCUCCAUACGAUUAUUCUUUCUAUCAGUUUUGGUACUUGCAAUCAAUAGCAUCCCUAUUAUUGCCAAUAAUCGAUAAGUACAUCUCAUUCUUGAUGUUUAGAUCCCGAUUUUUUUUGUAGAAUUUCUAUUUGACGAUAAUCUUUAAAUUCAAUUACUCAAUCUUUUAUGGUUCUUGACAAAUCUUUCGAUAAUCUUGAUAAAUCUUGAAAUCAAUCGUUAAUACAUGUGUAAAUGUCAUUUGAAGGGCCUAAUUUAGGUGUGUCAGGCCAAAAUCGAGCAUAAGGAAUGUCAAUCAAACUAUUUGUGAAAUGUGUGUGUUUUUUUACAAGUGAAUCGGGAUAAAUAUGUCUAAAAUUAGGGCCACACAGGCAUGUGGACCACACGACCCUCCACACAACCAUGUACCCUGCAAACCCUAGGCUAGUUCAAAUCUCACGCGGCUAAAAACCUUCCACACGGCCUGCCACAGAGUUGUGUCUCCCCUGUAGGUUAAUUUUUGCAUUUGCCACACGGUCACAGUAUGUUAUAGGGUCUAGCCACACGGCUGUGUGACCCUUGUUUUACAAUUUUGCCCAGAAUUUUAUGAAUUGUUCAGUUUAGUCCCUGUAUAAUCCCUAAACUAUUUUUAAAAAUUUUAUUCACAUGAUUGAGUCCUUGAUAUUAUAAACAUGCUAGAUUAUGUGAUUUGAUAAUUGAACUGCUACUGUUUAAUGUUGAUAUGUGAAUAUUUCAAGUCUAUUGUCACUGUCUUUCUAAUGAACUGAUAUUGGUAUUAUUGCCACUGUAGUACUGGUUGCAUGCUUACCGUUAUUGUUAAACUGAAUACAUGUUAAACAUGCCUACUGUUACUAUUGAACUAAAUACAUGAUAAUCAUGCCUUUUGUUAAUGUUAAUCUGAUCCAUGCUAAGCAUGUCUACUGUUUCUGAACUGUACUGUACUAUUAUUAGCAUGUCAUACUACAUUACAUGGGGUGAGACGCUUUGAAAGGAGGAAGUACAGGCAGUUUAUCUGCAAACAUUGGUGGUUUAUCCACAAACUUAUUGGAAACUUUUAUAUGCAAACCCGUUUUAUAUUUACAAUUACUAGCAGUGUAUUAACCUACAACACUGGUGGUUCAUCUAUAAUGUUUACUGGCAGAUUUUGUCUACAAACCCAUUGUGUAUUCACAACUACUGGCAGCGUAUUAACUUGAAACACUUGUGGUUCAUCCAUAAACUAGAGUGUCCAGGAUAUAAGAGUUUUGGGGAACUCUUACUAUGAAGUGUAGCGAUAGGGUAGGACCUUUCUUUUCUAUUAAAUUGAAAUUGUAUUACAUUGACACUUAUAAGCAUACUCGAAUGAAUUGUCAAUUUUUUGCUAUACUAUAUGAUUAUUAUUGUACUGAAAACUAUUAUUAUGAAUGUUUGGUUUAUUAUUUUGCACUGAUUCUCUUGUGAUAGAACUCACACUGAGCUUCAUAGUCCACCCCCUUAAUUUCCAUCCUUACAAAUAACCCAUCAAGUUAGGAUGCGGACAUGACACCUGUAACACCCCUAACCCUUAUCCGUCACUAGAACAGGGUUACAGAGCAUUACUGAACCUUACGAAUUAAAUACGAACAUUUCACAACUUUUAUUAUACAUAUCAAGAAUUAGUUAUAAAACACUCAUAUUGUCUCUUAGAUGGACCCUCGAGGCCCAAUAUACACCUUAGAAGUGAAUCGAGACUAAACCAGGUACUCAGGAAAUUUUUCCCAAAAUCUCAAUAAAAUUUUCUUAGGAGCAGGGGACACAUGCCUAUGUGGCCGACCGUGUCAUGUUUUAGGUCGUGUGGGCAUUCGAUAUGAGGCACACAGCCGUGUCUUUACCCGUGUAACUCUCUGACUUGGGUCACAUGGCCAACCACAUGCCCGUGUGCUAGGCCGUGUGCAAGGGCAGGUCGUGUCUCUACUUGUGUGGACGAAAAUAGGCCAUUUUAAGGCCACUUUUCUUACCCUUUUUGAUAUCAACCUAUACACAACAUUUCAAUACAUCAAAUAGCCCCAAUCAAGUAAUCAACACAAGUCAAAACUCAUGUUUUAAACAUAAUAUAUCAUCACAAAUAUCAAUUGCCUAAGCUUACCAAAAUAACUUCAUUCAUCGAUUUACCAAAACCUACUACUAAAUACAUGCAUACAAACAUAUAUAUAAGUCAUUCAUAAUCAUACUUCAAAUUUAACUCUUUUCCAAUCCAGCCCUAUACAUUCCAUAUAAACCAUAAAAUGUAUAACAAAAUCUAUCGGAGCAAACUGGAUAGUGUGGUUCAAUGUGUUGAUCUGAUCCUCCAAACUUCUUGAAAAUCUAUAAAGAACAUUAAACGACACAGUAAGCUUAAUAAAGCUUAGUAAGUUCGUUGGCUUUAAAUAUAAAUCUUACCAAACUUACUAUAAUAAUUCAUUUAGGUAACUCAUUUCACAAACAUUUUCUGCCAAUCACAACUUCGGUUGAUGAAUUCACUUAUUUGAGCUCAAUAUUAAUAAUAACUUAAAUUCUUCCACAGUAAUUCCAUAUGGCACUUACCAGUCCUUGUCAAAUCAGAGAACAUCUUACGGAUUUGAUUACAUCGUAAACAGAAGCCCGAAGGCUGCACAGAAGCACAUAAGUGCUAAACGGAAACCCGUAAGGGUUUAACGGAAGCACAUAGAAGCUAAACAAAAACCCAUUAGGGUUAAACGAAAACAUAUAUGAGCUAAUUGAAGCUCAUUAGAGCUAAACGAAAAGCAAACAUGAAAGUUCGCAACAAACGCUGAACCUCGGUUUACUUGGGUAAUUUUUUGUCAAUUCCUCAUUUGCACUGAACGACUGUACUCAAUCACGCGUUCCAUUCGUUUUGAACAUUCAAUUCAAUUUCAUAACUUUAAUAAUAAAUUUAUUUUCAACAAAUGAUAUGAAUAAAUAAAUAAUAUCAUUCACCAAUUAGCAUAUAACAUUAAAAUUUAACCAUACGAACUUACCUGGAUUUGAUGUAAGUUUGUUGUAGUUCAAUGAUUAUUCAAUUAAUUUCCCUUUUUCACAUUGAUCUACGGGAUCUUUAUUUAAAAUGUAAAAUUAUUCAUUCAUUAGCACAUAUUUCAAUUCUAAUUCAUUUCACAAUUUAUACCCCUCAAUUUUUGAAAUUGCACAAUUACCCUAACUUUUAUAAUUUUUUUACAAUUUAGUCGCUCACCAAUUAGCCCAUCAAAUAAGCUAUUUUUUCUCAAUUAACACUUUAUCUAAAUAUUAUAAGCUAUUACACAGCCUUUGAUAAAUAUAAUUUAAUACCAAACCCUAAGAUUUAAUCUUUUUCACAAUUUGGUCCUAAAAUCAAUUUCUAUUGAAAUUACUUGAUAAAAUCAUCAUAUAACAAAAUUAAAGCUUUAAUUCCAUGUUAAUUCAUCAUAAACAUCCAGAAAUAAUCAAUGUUAACUUUCAAAAUUACCCAUAAAAUCAAAAACUAAUGAAUUGAUAGUUGGACCUAAUUGCAAAAGUCUUAAAAACACAAAAAUUUCAAGAAAGAGCAAGAAUUAAACUCACUUGUAGAAAAAUAUGAAAAACCAGAUUUUUAAGGGUUCUUCAAUGGUGUUUUUGGCUGAGAAUUAUGAAGAAAUGUCUAGAUAUUCAAUUAAAUCCCAUUUUUAACUAUUAAGUUUUAUUUCAUUUCCAAUUUUACCCCUUGUUCACAAUAAUUUCAUGAUUUUUUUUGCACUCAUGCCGUCCAGCCUCUUAUUUUAGGUUUAUUUACCCUUGAAGUCCCUCCUCAUUUAACAUUUAGGCUAUUUUAUCACGUUAGCAAGUUUUGCACAUUUUUCAAUUUAGUUUUUUUUAAUUAAUUAACUAUCGAAACAUUAAAAUUUUCUAAUGAAACUUUAAUACUAACUUAAUAACACUCCAUAAAUAUUUAUAAAAAUAUUUACGGCUCGAUUUAUUAAAUCGAGAUCUCGAUACUUCGUUUUUGAAACUAAUUAAUCUAAUAAAUACUUCUAAAUCAAAAAUUACUAAUUCAAAAGUCUUCUAAAAUCAUACUUGACUCAUAAAUAAUAAUUAAUAAAAUUUUUAAACUCACUCGUCGGAUUUAGUGACCUCGAAUCACUGUUUUCGACACUACUGAAAAUUGGGUUGUUAUAACAUCUGGAGGGUCUCGGCUCGGUUUUGUUUGUUAAGAUAUUUUUAUUAUUUAGAGACUAUAUUAUUUUAUUUUGAAAUGUGACAUGAGACAUAGGAUUUGAGAUUUUAUAUAUUUAUUUAUUUAUAGCUUGCAUGACAUUUAAUUUGAUUUAGGAUAUCGAAUUAUGAAUAUGAAUUAGUUAUGCAAGAAUUCCGAUUUUUAUUAAAAAUAUAAAUAGAUAUCAUUUUUCUGUUGCUAAACUAUAAUUAAAAUAUUGGGUAAUAAGUAAUUUGGUAAUUAACUAGGUUUUCAAAAAGUAGUCACCGUUACAUAGCUUAAUUAAAUUUAAACCGGUUAUUGACAACUCGUAAAUUUUUCUGAAAACAGACUAAAUUUUCUUCUAGAAUAAACAAAUAUUUUAAAAUAAGCACUAUUUAUUAUUAAAACUAAUGUAAGAUAUUAAUUAUUAUAAAAAAUUAAUCAUUAUAAAAUAAAUUCCAUCUACGAAUUUUAUGAUAAAUAUAAUUUAUGUUGUAUUAUUUUACUAAAAAUAUUUUUUUUAAAUGAAAUUUUUUUAUUAAAUAACACAAAAUAUUUUAUAUAGAACCAUCCAACACAAAAAAAAAAUUAUUUUUCAAAAAUAAAUAAUUUUUAAUGAAACAAAUAUAGCUAAAGAAAGUAGAUAUUGUAACCAUUGAAGCCACACAGACAUGGAUAUUGUGCUUUAAAUAUUUUACUGAAAAUUGGCUAAAAAAUGUUUAUUGAAAGAAAAAAAAAUUACAAGAAAAAGUAUGGGCCCGACUUUACCACUUGCUUUGCAAAUGAGCUCUUGUUCUGGUCCUUGUCCCCCAUUGCUGAAUGGCAACAUCAAGCAACCUCAAAUUAUUAUCUUAUAGAUUUGAUUCAUUCCAAUCCGAUUAAUGAUUCAUAUAUGCCCCUCCCAUAAACAAAGGAUAUAGUAUUGUUAAUUUCUUUACAACCCCUCAUUGACUCUUUUACCAUUCAAUUUUAGUCCAUAUUGCUGCAAUUCAUAUGUAUAUAGAUAACCCUUGUUUAUUUUCUGGGUAUAAAAGUUGAAGCAGGAGAGAAGCAUAAAGGUAUAAAGGCAAAUGCAUGGGCUAGAUUGGUAUGGUAAGCUCAAGUCCAUGCAAAUUCCAUAAGUGAGCAUGGGAAUGAAUCUGACAAAUGUUGGUGAGUAAUACUGGAAAGAAGAAUCUGACCACAACCACCUUUCUAAAGGGAGAAAAAGAAAUUUUACAAUAAAGUUUAAAGGAUGAUAUGUAACCGUAUUUAUAAAAUUAAUAUCAUAUAUUGGUAAGUGUGGUAGUCUAUUAUGAUGAUAAUAUAUAGUAUUAUCUGCAGGUUGAGGAGCAAUGAGACAAAGCACUUGAAUAGUAUCUUUUGAUGUUAUUGUGGGACUUACAGUAAGUACUAUUUGCUUGCCUCUUUGUGUCCUCUAAUGGUAUCUCUCCCUUUCUCUCUCCACUCAUUGAUUUGUAGCUAUUGAAACACCGGAAGAGCCCAAAAAUCAACAAACACUUGUUACUGUAUUAUCUUUUUCUUGCUUUUUUGGUUUGCUGAAUUCUCUGACUUUGCACCCUCAUACCCAUCUCUCUAAACCUCUGCUUUCCCAUAAUUGUACACCUCCUCUUCUAUCUUAUCUCCUCCUUUUUCAUCUUUAACACUCGCUGUACUAUUUGUGGUAGAAAAAUAGCAGAAAAACACAAAAACACCCACAGGUUUAUAUACUUCUUUGUCUCUUCAUACUUCAUCUCAUACCUUACAGAUGUAUUAAACCACUCAAACCUUUGUUUGUUGCUUCGAAAGAUAUUCCAAGUAAGAAUCUUUUUCACCAUCUUAUAUAGUUUAUGGAUUUGGUUUUUCUUUUUUUUUUGUUAGCUUUUGUUUUGUGUUACUGAUUUGAAGCUGCUGUUUUGCACUGUUAUGUUAAGCCUUUUUGAAUUUUCAGCUUGAUUUGGUUUCAUCUUCUCUCUUUUUUUAAUGACUUUUAGAGUGAUUUUGUUUGCAUUUUCCAUGUUAAUUCUAGCUGCUAUUAGUUUGUGAAAAAUGGUUCUUUCAUUCCACUGUUUCUGAUAGAGAUUUGGAGAUGAAAUUAACUUAACAUGAAUCUGAUGAAGCACUUUGAACAGACUUUUAGGGUUAUGAAAAAAAAAGCACUUUCUUAGGCAAUUCUGAAUAGCUUUCAUCAGUUUCAUGCAUGUCAGCUGAUUCCUCAAACCCUCAUUUCUUUAGUAUCUGAAUUUGACACCUAUUUGGUCAUAUAUGAACAGCUAUUUAUACUUUAAUCAUGAUUUUGAGCCAAAAAGUGAAACGAAAAUAAAAUUUGAGUGUGUUUGGUAAAGAAGGAAAAGUAGAAGGAAAUGAAAAUGAGAGAGAUGGCUAUUUCAAUGCAUGAAACUUAAUGAGAGAAAAUUCGUGGGAAAAAAGUUACCAAGCACACCAAUACGAAUCCUUACUUAUUAGACAGCUAGUUCUACGAUUAGCUUGAACCCAUUGUAUUAAUGUAGCCUACCGGAAAAUUCUAAAUCCAGUUUCAUUCAAUGUCAUGCUCUAGAAGGGAAUGGAUAUCAUGUCAAUUUUGUUUCUUCCUUAAUGUUUACUCUUUGCACCGUGAUUGGUUCUCUUUUUUUUCAAUUCCAUUAGCUUGAAGAUCAACAGUUUUGUCGCUCGUUGAUCCAUUAGUGGAUAAUUGGAUCCUUUUUGUCCUCAUUUAUAGGAUUUUCUCAUUUCAAAUAAGAGAAGUUGGAGAUAAAUCAUAGAUACCCUUCAUCAUGUUAGCCGGAAGUAAGACCUAUUUACCAUUGGUUAGCAUUAUGAACUUUUAUGGCUGCACGAUGCGUGUGAUUGUUUAAUGUUUACGGACUUGUAUUUAUGGAGAUUAUUACAUGUAUCACUUAGUUAAACCAUACUGUCCAUGUUUCCAAGGUUGGAUUUUUUUUCUUCAAAUGGAAGUUAGCAUGCUCAUCAUGACGGAUUACAUAUGACAAGCUUGAGAGACCAGAAUAUACUGUUAAAAUGAUGUGUUAUCGCAAACACAUCGGUUAAAUCUUGAAUUGCUUGUUGUCUUAUAAUCAAAUUGGAUUUUUCAACCAAUUUGAAUUGAUGUUAAAUUAUGCAUGUUACUCAUGUCUAUUAGUCCGCCGUGCUUGCCGUUAAAUCCUGGAUUGCUUAUGGUUUUAUGUUUGAGUUUGGUCUCUGCACCUAUUUCUAUUUGAUUUUACAUUGAAUGCUUAACAUAUAGUACGUGCAUGACAACUUCGGCCAAUUGCAUCUUUCUUGCUCACUUAAACUUUAGCCAAUGAUUCAUUUCUUUUGGUAUGUGCAGGUGUUGAAGAGCUAUAUAAUUAGUACUGCAGCAAUCCGUACCGGGUAUCAAAAGGAACAAGCACAAAACUUGCUGCUUUACCGAGAAUGACACUGCCGAAUCUUGGGUUAGAAUCUGAAAACGAUUCCAAUGCAAGUAGCCAAGUCGCUUCCAACAUAUCUGCACAAGAGGCAUCCACUGAUCCCUCGAAGGAUACCACAACCACUACUUCAUGCCUCUCGAAUCCUGUAAAGGUUCAACCAGAUCCAGGGUCUGUUUCCCUUGACCUGACUCUGCACUUCAGUGCCAAUGAUGCUGAGAUGAAGGGUGCCACUGGUGAGACUAUGGGGAUCAACACUUUGUCAACACCGAGGGUUUUCUCUUGUAAUUACUGCAGGCGCAAGUUCUAUAGUUCACAAGCACUGGGUGGACACCAGAAUGCUCACAAGAGGGAGAGAACAAUGGCAAAGCGUGCGAUGCGGAUGGGGUUAUUAUCUGAUAGGUAUACAAGCUUAGCAUCUCUGCCUCUCCAUGGUUCGGCAUUUCGGUCCCUUGGGAUCAAAGCUCAUUCCGCUAUGCACCAAGGAAUGUUGCCAUCAUCCCAAAGACCUGUAGAUACAAGAAGUGGAGCACGGUUCGAUCAAGGGUGUUUUGGGAUGCCGAUAUUCAUGGAAGAUGAGGAGGUAGACUUGUAUUGGCCAGGGAGUUUCAGGCAGGUGAAUGAAGAAAGAGUUGGGAGUAACCAAGCUAUGGAAUUGGGUCAAAAUCCAACUCAAAGUUCAAAUAUAGGUUUUAUAGCAAUGGCAACACCACCAAGAGCAGAUGCAUCAUCUCAAUUGGAUCUCACUUUGAAGCUCUAAUAAUUUUUGAAGUUUACUUGUCAAUUUCAUCCGAACCUGAUACUGAUUAUGUUAGCUCACUCUUGUACAGUGAGGUGCAUUAGCAAUAGCUGCUACCUCCUAUCAUUAUUUUUGCUAGAUUCCUUUAAUUUGAUAACUUUUUCUUUUUUAAACCUUUAUCUGUACCCAUGUUCGCUGCCGAUCAGCUACGUUUGGUUAUGAAAUGAAAGCUAUAGCCUUUCCCUGUAGCAUCAUUUUACUAUUCUGACAAGGUGAACUUACUCACCCCAACACUCCAACCCUUGCAUUAGCAAAGUAGAGACUAAAUUAGAUGAAAUGAACUGAUUGACCAAAUCGGAUUUUCAAACAUUGAAUGGUUCAACUUAGAUUGAAUUUCUUGUUUUUCAAAUUAUUGAAAUUCAAUUUGUAUGACUUGAAACGUUGAACAUUGUUUGAAGAACAAGGUUGGAUGAAUGAUGACUCGGUGUUGGAUAUCUAAGAGUGCUUUUGGAUGGACAGUGCUUUUAUUUUCUGUAAGGUUAAAAACAACAAUGGCGAUUGUGAGAAUAUUUUACAGCAUCAUAGCUACUGCCCAUGCAAAGGCACCUACCCUAAAAGUGAAUUAAGUGUAGUUUUAUCGAUAUUAUUAUAAUGUUUUUGACAUAAACUAGAAAAUUAAGUGUUGAAUUUAAGUUAAAAAAUAUGUUUGGUGUAUUAUUUAAAAUUAAAUAUUGAAUAUAUUUAGAUGGUUUGAUAAAAGGAUAAAAUAAUCCAAAAUAAAAUAAAAACAAUUGCACGUACUCUCUAUUAAGUGAUAAGUAGGUCUUUAUUUACUUAUCAUUUUUUCCAUACUUUUUUGUAGAAAAAAAAAUCUAUUUAAUUGUUUUCAUUGUAGGCUAUCAAGGGCGUUUUUAAAUGUAAUUUAGUAAAAAUAUUAAUUUAGGCCGUCAACCUUUAAAAAGUCGAAUUUGACUGUCAACCUUUUUAAAAAAAGUUGAAUUAUUAUUUUUUAAUGGAAAUAUUGACUAAAAAGUUAAAUUUUUAAACAUGUCAGCCCACAUGGAAAUACUCAUGUACUUCAUGCUAAAUUCUUUUUUUUUUUAAUUCUUUUCUUUUUAUUUUUUAUAAUAUUUAUUUAUAUGACAUAUGAGACAUAUAAUGACAUGUCAACAUAAAAUUCACAUGGAUUGUCACACGGAUUCUCAUGCCGACAUUAUAAAAAAAACUAAUAUUUUAGUCAAUAUUUUAUUUUAAAAAAAUAAUUUAAUUCUUUUUAAAACGUUAAUAGUCCAAUCUAACUAAAAAAUAAAGGUUAAAUGACAAAAAAAAUAUAAGAUUUAAAGGAUAAAUUUAUCAUCAUACAAUUAAUUAUAAGAUUAUAAUAAUUUGAUUUAAAAAAAUUAAAAUUAUCAAAAAAUUAAUCUAUUCUUGUCAUCAACUAUUUCAAAAAACUGUAAAUAUUUUAUAGAAAAACAUUUAUAAUUUCAGUCACGGACUGAGCAUGCACAAGAGAACGCAAUUUGAUAUAAAAAAAAUGAAAAAUAAAACUCUUAAAUCACGAGAUAUUGAUUUUAUGGAUUGAGCCAAUAUAUAUCAUUCAAAAUUACACGUUAGAAAUAUAUAUACCUUUAAAUUGCCAACUUGUUGCAUCAAUGUAACAACAAUACCGUGUUGACACUUCACAUUUAUAUCUUCUUGAAUUUAGAUGAGCGAUGUGUUUAUCUGUAAUUGGUGUUAAAAUAGUAGUGAAUGUAAGAUUAGAUACUAUAGUGAUACUAUAACGUGAAUAAAAAAAUAAGCUAGACGCACCACACUACAUCUUACCGCCUAUCCAAACCCACCCUUAAUUCUUAAACAAAACCAGGUUAUUUGUUCAUAUAUAUAUAUAUAUAUGGAGGUACCUCUUAAUAUAUCUAAAUGUAUUUUAGACUUAAUAGGUACUUAAAUUUAGAAAGAAUAAGUUAAUUUGGUAAUUUUUUAAGUACUUAAUUAAUAUCGUUAAAAUACAUUGAUAUAGCACUAACUAUCAAUAGAAUGGUGACUGAUGGGUGUCGAAACCACUAAAUAAAAUAAUUCCUACAAUAAAAUAACUCUAAACACUAGUAAAGAGUAGUAAGGUCGAGUUCACAGGGAUUGAAUAUUAUGAUCAACUUCUGUGUUUUUCUUGUGAACAAAAUUUCGGUCGAGCUGAUAGUCGUGGUAAUAGUCGUGCCCACGACUCUAAAUGGACUUGCUGAAAAAUAAAUAAAAUAAAUUAGGGGAGUUGGAAAUGUCUAGAAAUUAACUUAUUGAGAUAGCAAAACUAAGCAAUUAAAGAAAUCGAAAGUAAAAUUAAAUUAGAAAAUGAAUUUGGGUUUUGCAAACAUAAUUAUAAAGCCUUAGCCUUAGACUCGGUGAAGUCUGGUUUCUGAAUCGAUCUUCGAAAAUUAGUUUUCUUCUUAAACAAUAACUUGGUUAUAGCGGCUAAGAACGUCCUAACCGCCAAUUCUUCCUCUCGUAGUUGAUUCCAGUACGACCUGCAAACCAACCCUUACUGAUUAUCUAACUACAAUAUCGCGUUCACGAUUCAAGACUCCGGUAGCCUUGCGUUCUGAAGAACCCAACUCGGAUUAACAGCCUUAACUGUGCGGGUCGUUUAAAUCAGAUCAUUAUCUCCCUUGACGAAAAUCUCACUAGUAUGACCUCGCUAGGACACGCCAAUUUGUUCGCAAUAAUCCAAACAUAGCACGGCCAACUCGUCUUCCCAACUAUAAGCUAAAACGACUCCAACCCAACACGCACUUUGUGUUAAAAUCGAGUUAACUUUAAGGGAUGAAUUUGUCAAUCCCAAUAUUCCGGAGAGGCAGUGAAUACCAUUAUGAAAGAUUUUUAGUGCGGGUAUAUUUCUCUCGAUUCUUAACCGAAAAGAAUACCAGCCUAAAACUAAGUAAAGAUUUAGUGAAACAUGAAAUUAGUCAUGCUUUUGUUGGUUUAUGGAAAUAAUUUUUAAGGAAAUGGUGAAAGUUGAAAAGAAAAGGGACUCAGAAAGCAAUUAAACAAUUUUGCAAAGAAACAAGGAAAUGGAAAUGGAAUGACAGUAUGCUACUCACGCGUGAAAUUGGAAGGGAAAAUUCAAUUCCAACUGAAUUCAAAUGUGUCUUUUCAAGUGUACCAUACCACUUAAUUUAUACAUAAAUCAUAUACUAAAAUUAGGCUAAUUCCACCUACUAACUAAUUACAUGAAAAAUAUAAUAUUAUGUUUUCUAAAUUUGGCUUUUACAAAGUCAAAAAAAAAUCUGAUCAGCCCUUUAAUAUUUCUAAAUUUCUAAUUUGGCCACUCUUCUAUUGUUCAUGCUCCAAUUGAAUCCUUUUCUACUCGUUUUUUGCAUUAAAGUAUCCGAAUUUCGUUACUGACAAGAUUUAAACAUAAAAUUCACCAAUUAGCAAUAGUUAAUUCAAGAACAAGUUGAUUUGAGCACGUAAAAUAUGCAAAAUAAACAUGCUAUCAGUGACACGUAACAUCCUCUAAUAAAAAUAAAAAUAAUUAAAAUUAAAAAAAAUAUUUUGUUAUACAUGGGGAAUGAACUUAGACAAAUAGUUGUCCAGAUUCAGAUGAACUAGACAACCAUCGGUCCAAGUUCAUUUUAGAUAUAUAUAUAUUUUUAAAUUUUUUAUAACAUAUCAAAAAAAAAUUUAUACUUGAUUGAGUUUUAGCUUAGUUGGUAUUGGUAAAUGUUACAAAUGGAAGAGGACAUGAAUUCGAAUGCAUUGAAAUGCGUUUAUCUUCUUAUUUAUCAAUUUUUAUUACCACAUUAUUAUUUUAAAAUUAAAAAUAUAUAAAAAAAUAGAAAUUUAUAAAAUAUUAGAAAUGUUAUUUCACCCAUUUAUAAUAUAAACACCAAAUUUAAACCAAUUUUUUUUCAACUUAAGGAGAACUUAAUUCUAUAUUAUAGUCUACAAAGAAGUUGUUUUCUUUUAUUCGAAAAUUUAAUUAAUUUGAACCCAAUUUAAAUUUAUUAUAUCAGUGCUAGAUAGUUCAAAUUAGACCUGUCCAUGGGCCGGGCGGCCCGGCCCUACCCGAUGGCCCUCCUGAAAUAUGGGAGGGUUUGGGUAAAAAUAUAGGCCCGAAAUAUGGGCUUGGACAAAAUUUUAGGCCCGUUUAAAAAAUGGGCCAGGCCUCGAGUAAGAUUUUUUUGCCCGAGCCUGGCUCGGCCCGGCCCGAAAAUAUUAAAUAUAUCUUUUUUAUUUUUAAAAUAUAAUAGUUUUUAUUUUAAGUUUAUUUACUUUCAUUUCCUUGACUAGUGUUACAAAAUAAUAAUAAUAAAACAUCAAGUUUAUUUUACUAAUCAAAUGUUAGAUUUUGUUACAACAAUUAAUACAGUUAAUACAAUUAAUAAUUUGAUAAAUUUACUAAUCAAAUUUUAGAUUUUAUUACAACAAUUAAUACAAUUAAUACAAUUAAUAAUUUGAUAAAUUUACUAAUCAAAUGUUAGAUUUUAUUACAACAAUUAAUACAAUUAACAAUUAAUAAUUUGAUAAUUUUACUAACAAUUAAUUUUAAUAACAAUUAGUUUUAAUUUUAUUAAAAAAACUAAUUUUAAUUUUAAUUAAAAACGGGCCGGGCCGAGCUCGGGCCUCGUAUUUUUUCUUCGGGCUGGGCCUGGGCAAAAUCUCAGGCCCAUAUUUUGGGCCGGGCCCGAGCCUAGUAAACGGGCUGAAAAUUUUGUGGGCCCGGCCCGAACCCGGCCUGGCCCGGCCCAUGGACAGGUCUAGUUCAAAUAUAACUCUAGUUACAACUUGGUUUGUAUAUGAUAAAGUAAUGUAAUUUGUUAUAUUAGUUACACUUGGCACUUGGACAAUAGAUAAACAAAUAGGGGACACAAGGUCUGUUUACGCAAUUCAAUUUCCCUAUGUUUACGGAGCCUAACUCAGUGAGACAUAUUCACUAUCUUCCAUGCUUACAACAAGUGAUCCUAAAUCUAUCACACACUCGUGACAAUUUCUUUACUUUUGCACCUUGAAGACUAAUACUGUCAUCGCUAAAUUUACCCAUUUGAAUUCAGCAAGUAAAAUCACAACACAAUAGGUUUUGCUAUCACAAUGCACUCAUAAAAUAAAGUUCCUCACUCGAACAAAUUAAAUGUUAUCUCUCUCUAUACAAUAACUUAUACAAGUCUCUCAAUUAUAUAGAAUAUUUCGAGACUUACUUACAUAAAAAAGAUCUAUCACAAUCCCUAUAAAACAACAAUAAGAUAAGCUGAAUAUAAUAAAAUAAUAAUAAACAUUCAAUCCAUUCCAAUAUCCAUGAUCCAAGCAAUUAGAUAAGGGUGAUCUGAUGCGAUCUACUCUUCCAAAUAUGUUUCCCCAAGUGAUAUGAUCUUUAAUGAUGGGAUAAAUGCAAUCCGCAUAAUCAACAUAACCCAUAAUUUCGAUUCAAUAAAUUGCCAACAACACAAACAUGAAAACUGCACACGGUGUCGCUAUUAUUCAGGGAGUGGGCACUCCCUCAGGCACUCCUUUAUACUUCCCAUAUUUUUCAACAAAAGAUAUUUAAUUUGUCGAGGAUAUUAUAUAGAAAAGAUCUUUGUUGAUUUAACUCUAUGUUGAAGACUUGUAUUGAGUUGAAUUAAAUGAAUUAGAGAUUUACAUUAAUUGUAAUUGAGAGAGCACUUAUUUGUUUUAGUGGGGAGUUUGUUUUUAGUGCAAAAUUAGUAUAAGCAAGUUGCUCGUGUUGUUCAAUUUGUAACUAAACUUUAAAGGAAGAAAGUCUUAGCGGGAGAGUGACUUAGACUUUGUAUAGGAGUGAGGUUGUAACUUGGUGAGUAAUUUAAAUUCAUAUAAUUUUUUUGAAAAAUAUCUUUAUAUAAAAAUUUUAAAUUAUUUUUACUAAUUUAAAUAUAAAAUAUUUAAUUUUACAUUCCGCCCCAAAAAGUACAAUUGAUUGCGCAAAGAAUAUUAAUUAAUUUUUGGUUUUAGGGUUUUUCGAGGUAGUUUACGAAUUUAGAGGAAAAGCAAUGCAAUACUUUACAACGAAGCACACUUUGUCAUGAGAUUCUCGUUUUAAAUGAUGCCUUUCUUCACGAAUAUAUAUAUAUAUAUAUAUAUAUAUACAUAUAUAUCAUAUUAUACCUUCAUUACAAUAAUCAAUAAGUAAUCCUUGUUCAUUGGUGGGAAAAAAAGUAAUCCUUGUUCAUUGAUGAAUUUUUUAAAACUUAAAUUAGAUUAAGUUUAAAUUUAAAAUAAAAAAAUUAAUUAUGUCAAUCAGUUUAAAUUAUGAUCUAAUUACUAAAUAUCUUAUUUAAAUUUAAUAAUAAAAUUUAAAUAAUUUUGAAUUGUAAAAUUAACUUUGGAAAAUAAUUAUUAACUUUAGUAAAUUUUUUAACUGAUUUGGACAUAAAUAGAGGAUUAUGUAGUCAAAUCUUUUAAUUAGAGUGUUUGUCGAACAGAGAUUUGUAAGUGUUUUAUGAGUUAAAACCUCAAACACAAAAAAACGCAAGGAUGAAUAACUUUUUUCAUAGUUAAUUGGGAGUGAGAUAUGUGGAAUGACAUAUCUGAUCAUGCUUACUCAAAAAUUACUCCCUUUGCCACAUGCUCUCAAACCUAAUGUGGGUGUCAAUAUAUGAGUAGCCUCUGUUCUAAAAAAAAUAUUUACUACUUAAUUUAUGUAUUCUUAAUUUAUUUUCAAUUUACUUGUGUAAAAUAAUUUCUUAUGCAACUUAAGAAAUUUGCAAAUAAGAAACUUGAGAAUUUUGUUUUAAUUCCUAUAAUGGACGUGUUUAAUUCCUUGGUAAUAGUAUUUUAUUUCAACAAUUUCUCCCAAUAAAAAUUAAAGUAUUAUAAACAAAUAAAUACAUAUAACUAAAAUAUAUCAUGCCCUUAUUUGUCAUUUUACACAUGUUAACUUUCAGUUACCGAUUAAAUUUUACCGAAUACAUGUAAAUAAAUACUUUAUAAAAUCAGUUAAUCAAACCAACCACUGAACCAGCAAUAAGCAAAUUACCAAAAAAAAUAUUAUAUUUGAGUUGCUUGUUCGUGACCUAACCUAAUCUAAGAUUGUGCUUGUUUUUGGUUGCCCAAUAUUAAAUAAAUAUAGCAUCUUCCUUAAUCCUUAAAGUCAAUCAACAUUAACAGUUAAUUAAAUAAUUAAUAAUAUAAAAUUGUAUCUGACAGAUAGACAGGACAGCUAAGUUAAUUUGAAAUUUUCGAAGCAUAUCUUAUUUGGUAAUAUGGUCCAAACCAAAUAUCUUUUGCGGGCAUUAGCUCUUGGCGAAGCAAAUAAAAUAUCCUUAAUCUUUAUUUUAUUCUAUUUUUUUUAACAUUAAUCUCGUUAUAGGUUUUUGUCAUAUCUGUUCUUUUUUAUACAACGUCUAGAACUACUCAUAACCUUUCUCCAACCCUUAAAUAGGAGGAUAAUGCGCUUCAACGCACUCGAACCCACUUCCUACUGCGCCGACAAUAAUACCGAUGUCAAUCGAGCUAAAACUCAAUCGACAUGUUUAUUUUAUUUAUUUAUUUUAUUUGGUGAAUUAUAUAACGAGUUUUCUCAUUUCAUAAUUCACACUAGUUCUUAAUUACAUAUUAUUUUUUUUAAACUUUACUUUGAAAUGUUAAAUCUUACAAUUAAAUUUUGCGAUUAAAAUUAAUCAUUAUAAAAUACGACCAGAUUGAUAACUGGAAUAAUAUUUAUACAAUACUAGCACAUAAUAAAACUUAAAUUAAAAUAAAAUCUGAAUUAAAAUCCACACGUACAUUAUAUUUAGAAAUGGUGGAUUCAAACUUACGAUUUCAAAAUUAUCAAAAUUUCAAUCUUAUCCUUAAACUAAAGCCCCAUUGACACCACUUCUAAUAAAUAAAAUAUUAAAAUAUGUCUUAGGUCAUUAUACUCUUUAGACAUUUAGAAUUUAGUCUCUUUACUUUUCUCAAAUUUCAAAAUUCUUUUGUUAAACUCACUAAUGUGACACUUUAACAUAAAUAAAUAAAAAUGUUAUAAUGAACUUGCAUUUAAUAAAAGAAUUUUAAUGAUGAUAAUAAUUGAAAUUGCAUUUUAAAAUUCUAAAAAUAGAGGGACUGAAUUUCUUAAAGAAAAAAUAGAUGGAUUAAAUUUCAAAUGUAUAACGACUACAAGGACUUGAAUCAUAGUUUAACCAAAAUAAAACCAAAAGCAUGUAGUAAAAAAAAACAUAGUGAGUGAAGCAGAAAGAAGACAUAAAUAAAGUAUGAUUCAAAUUUGAAUGAUUUUCUAAGAUAAUUAAUUAAAUAAAUGUGUGGACAUCAAUUUUGUUGCACUUUAUUGUGUUGGGUGAAUGUGGGUCAUGCUUUCAUCUUUGCCAAAUUUCAAUGGGAAACAAUAAGAAACAAAACUUUGGGGGAAUGGGGGGAAGUUUAUUGGACCAAUGCAAUUUGUCAAGUAGAGUGCAACUUGACAUGGAAUAGCAUGUCAUAUUAUCCUUUUCAAACACCAUAUUCAAUUUAUUUAUUAAAUCUGUAUUAUUUGAAUCCAUAUAUCAAUUUAAAUAAAGAGAUUAAAUUGAUCCUUAAAUGAAUGGUUCGAAAUUUAUAAGAGGAUAUAUGUGUUUCAACACGUUUGAAUCAACUGAAUUAAAACUCAGUCGACGCUUUUUCAAAAGUAAGCUCUAGCUAGUUAAUUAAUUUGUAAACAAGAUAUUGAUUAAAUUGAUAAAUAUAUGCCAUAAAGGGUAUAAACAUAUUUUUUUAAGAUACGAUUGCAUACGCAAUUAUAAUUAACACAUUCAUAUCAUUAGAAUCAGUAAAUUACUACAGAACUCAUACAUGAUAGACUUAAACCAGAAUAAACUUUAAAUUAAGAACUUACCCAUGAUAUUUAUGUGUAACGAGACCUGAGUCUAAGAUUUCAAAAAUCAUCCGACCUUAACAUUCUAUUAAAUCAAAAGUUCAUUGGCUUAGAGAGCACAAAUAUUUAAUAUCAAAGAGAAAACACUAAGGGUUUAUUUGGACGACACAGAGUAGUUAAAUGAUUGUAAUUACAAAAAAUUAUAAUUCCAUUUACGUGUUUAGCUGAUAGAGUGUAAUUACAUUGUAAUUCUCUAUAAUUACAUAGUUCCAUAAUUCAUAUUUAAAAAAAUAUUAAUUACUAUAAAAAUUAUUAUCACGAUAAAAAAUUUCUAAAUAGGUAACAAAAAUUAAUUUCAAAUCAUUGUAUGUAUUAUGUUAGUCAAAAAAAGUAGUUGAUAAUACGAUUGCUAAUAAAAAUAACAAGAAAAAUAAACAUCAUAUGCAAUUUUAUCUAAUUGUUCUAGUGUUCCAUAUUUAUCGGGUUAUUCUUUUUUUAAUAUCUAAAUCUAUAUUAUUAAAAUUAUCAAGAUCUCUUUCUUCCAUGUACUCUUUGAAGUAUGGUUCAUCACAAACCCACAUUAUGGAUGAAGCUAUGAAGUAUGUAACAUGCUAGUAUGAUCCAACUCUUUUUUUAUGCUAUACUAAGGUGAUAUUAUUAAUAUGAGAAAUAUUUUUUUAAAACAACAAAUGUUCUCUCAAUCACAUUUCGAAACCAAAUGUCUCAAAUUAAAAAGUUUGCAAGCCGUCUUUGGUGCUUGCGUGUUUAGCUCCAUUCUUUCAAAUGGUAUCAUACCCCACGAUAUGGUGUAAGAAAACAUUUUGUAUUUACAUAAUUAACAUCUACCAUAUAAUAUUGAGUUCACCGUGCAAAUGGUCUAUAGCUUUAAUCAUAAAAACUUAUAUAAACUUAAUUUGGAGAAAGAAAAAACUUAUAUAAAUUUAAUUCUUUUGUAUUACACAAUGAUGACCGUGCAAAUAGUCUAUAGCCAUUAUAAUAGAAACUUUUAUGAAUAAUCAUAUUAUUUUUAUAAUAUAUAGUAUGGACACGUAAAUAAAUUAUGUCCAUACUAUUAGCCGUAACUUUUUAUAAAUAAAUAUAUUAUAAUACUUUUAUAACAUAUAUAUUUUUAUAAUAAGCUUUUUUAUCAUAACUUUUAAAAAAUUUAAAUAAUAUAUUUUUUGCUAUAACUUUAUAAAAUAUACAUAAAUCAAUUUUAUAAUAUAAGUUUUUAGAAUUUAUAAUAUAAUAGUUCUUUGGCAAUAACCAUCCCGAAUAUUUAUACAUGUUCAUGUUUAUAAUAUAAAAAUUUAUAACUUAAAUUUGCAUAAAAAAUAAUUUUUUUAAAAUUAAAUUUGGAUGUAAUUACCUACGAAACUACUGUAGUUCUCAUCCCCUAUAAGAAUUGAAAAGUGUAAUUGGGAUGCUCUAAUUGCAUUCAAUUCGGUAGAACCCACAAAUUACAAUGGCUAUCCAAAUAUGUUAUCAUUGUGUAAUUACAAGCAAUUACACCCAAAUCCAAUCAUUAGGUGACUUUCCAAAUGCUACCUAAUAAGGAAGUUAACAUUAUUUUGUAUUAUCUCUAUUAAUAUUAAACGUGUUAUUGAGUUUGGUGUCACAAGUAAAAUAGGCACCAACUUAAUUGGAUGAUAAAAAAAAACUUUUAUUUUACAAAGUAAAUUAUAUUAUUUUAAGGGUAUUUUUGUAAUUUCUUAUAGAUAAAUAUACACAAUAAAGUUUGAAUUAAAGAGAAAAUAUUUGAUACACUGCUAAUGAGAUUUAAAAAUACCACAAGUUAGGUUGUGGUGACGACAAGUGUAUAUACGGUAUAAUAAAAAUUUUAAAAAAUAAAUAUAUUGAAAAGGACAAGUGACAAAUAUAUAACUCAGUUUGUGGAGUUAAAAAAUUGCAUCGUUAGUAUACCAGAUACUCGCAUUUCAAUUCAGACCUUCAUAGUUUUCAACAUUUGUAUUUUACCAUUCAACUAAAAUCUUAUUUGUUUGAGAAUUAUAUAAGUUUUUAUAAAUAUGUUUAUUACAUAAUUUUGUUUUUCACCUAAAUUAUGCGUGUUUCAUAAUCUAGUUUACAUAAAAUAUAGUUAACUUUUUUUACUAUUAAAAUUUAUGGAAAAUAUAUAUUUUUAGUAAAAUAAGUUUUUUUUAAAAAAUAAGAAUAUAAAAUUUGUAAUUGAGUAUUAUUUAUUUUAUAAAUUUUGAAAAACCCUUAUUUUAUUGUUAUUAUGACUAUGGGCUUCACUUGAGUCACAACACCAAAGGCAUAUCUUGUUUUUAUUUUUUAAAAAUAAUUUUAUAUAAAAUCAAUAAAAUUUCAAUCAUGAUUAAAUUGUGGAAACCCAUUCGGAAAAAAAUCAUAUGUAGAGGAGGAAAAAUUCACUAAUGUUGACAAACGAAUGAUACAAGAUGAGUUUCGACUACAUAUAUUUAAGGGUUAAAAAAUUAUAUUCUAAUCAAAGUCAAAUAGAAGAAGUAUAGUUCUAUACGGAUUCAACUCGUGCAGGAUUCAUGUCAUAAAAUCUCUAAUAAUUGUUAUCAACUCAUUAUUAUUAUUAUGAAAAAGGACAUCAUGUUAUUAAAUCAUAGACGUGUACAACAUUAAAUAGGAACUUUCCUUUGUCCCUAUCACAUAUUUUCUUUUGACCAUUUUUAUUGGAAAUUUAUUGUUAUGUACCAUUGACUUAAAUUCAACACUUGAUUAAUUAGGAAAAAAUCAUAUCAAAACAUAUCUUAAAUAAUUUUUUUUAAAUUUUUUUUAUACAAACACUAGAUUCAAAUUCAACACUAUCAGUCGAUUGGGUAUUAGUUCGGUUGAUAUCGGUAUUAUUGUCAGCGUAAGAGGUCGUGGGUUUAAGUGCGUUGAAACGCAUUAUCCUCUUAUUUAAGAGUUGAGAGGAAUUAUGGAUAGUUCUAAACAUUAUAUUAAAAAGAGAAGAUAUGAUAAAAACCUAUAUAUAUAUAUAUAUAUAUUUAUAAUUAUAUCAAUAAUUACCAUUAAAAUUAAUCAUUACGAAGACUUAUUGUGAAGGCUUAAAAUCCUAAAGUUUAAUAAUGCGAUUUCAGCCUGACCCUUUGCUUUAAUUGAAAAAAGAAAAUAAGUUUGAAUGUUUCCAUCUGUGAAAUUAUAUUUUAAACCAGACAUUAAAAUAUACUUACUUUUAAAAUGUAAUUAAUUAUAUGUUACAUAAAAAAUUAAAAAAAAAUUAGCAUACACUAUUAAUUAUGAUUUCACAAUAUGUAAGAUAUUAAAAUGAUAAAAGUUUAGAUUAAAUUGUGAAUAAAACGAAACCUUGAGGUAUUAACAACAUUAUUAAUAUUAGAAAUUCUAUCACACGUGUACGCGUGCGAAAACUAUGUUCUUAGAAUACAUGUGUUAGUUUAACAAUAACAUAUAACAGAUAAUGAAACGUAUGACUUAAAAUUAAUAAGUAAAAACACAUGAAAUAUUUAUGAUAUUAAAAUGGCAUUUAAAUACUCAAAUACAUCAUAUUAAGAAUUCUAAGCGCAUUGCAAUUAUUUUUCAUGGUGUUGUCAUUAAUCUCGAGUUAGUGUCGAGUUGACUUAUGGCACUAACUCAAUCAACAAUAUUAUCAAGAUAGAAAUUUUAUCACAUGCAUAUGCAUGUGAAAACUACGUAUUUGGGAUACGAGAGUGUGUUUAAAAAUAACAUGCAAUAAAUAAUAAAACAUGUGGUUUGAAACUAAUUAAUAAUAAAGACACAUGCAAAAUGUAUGAUGUUAAAAUGGAAAAAAUAGAUUAAAUUGUGCGUAAAACAAAAUUUAAAGACGUAAAUAUUUCAGAUUAAGAGUAUUAAAUGCAUUACAAUUGUUUAUCAUGGUGUCAUCAUCAAUCUUAAGUUGAUGCCGAGUUAACUUGUGACACCAACUCAAUCAAUAAUAUUAUCGAAUAUAUAUAAAAUUGAUGGAGGUAAUAAAAUAUGCAUAAUACAAUUAAAAUGUAAAUAUUAUAUUAAAAAUUAAAAUAAACCUAUGGUUUAGUGAUAAAGCUAAUGUUUUAUUGACGUAAAUAGCACAUGCUCAAAUGUAACCGCAUUGCAAAUUUUUAUUGGUUUUUAAAAAAAUAAAAAGACUAAAAUUUAUUUGAAUAAUAUAACUUAUUUUAAUUAUACAAGGACAUUUUUAUAAUUUUACAAACUAAGUUGGUGCACAGUUGACUCGUAAUAAAAUGCGCAUUAUAAAAUUAACAUGUAAAAAAUAUUUUAAGAUUUCGAAUCUUGGAAGUAACAUUGUUGAAGGGGCAGUCACGAACCUCAAACAUAAACAGUAAAACGGAGAAGUAACAAAAUUAAUUGUAGUUUAAGUAAAAAAAAAAGAAAAAGAAAAUUUAAAUACUUAAGUAAAAAAAGAGUAAAAUUUGAGGGGUACUAAGCGAAAAUUAAAAUCCAAUUAUCUAGUCAAUGGUGUAAACGCUUUGAAGUUUCCAGCCUUAGUUGCAGGGUCUUAUGGCGUGCUAAAUCAGAAGCCAAAAACAAAAAGCAUCCCUCAGAUUCUUUUAAAAAAUUUCCAUUUUGACCCUCCAUCUCUACUUCUCUAAUCGCUAUCCCUCUCUUUCUCUCUGGUAAGUUAAGUUUCUCUUUGUUUUUUGAUCUCUGUUCGUGUGUGUGUUGCUUUUCAUAUAAGGCGAUGUUUGGAGAGAAAGAUCUCUCAAGUAAUCUCCCUUGUGUAGGAGAUGAAAGCUCUCAAAGCAAGCUUUCGCGUUUGUUUCAAAACAAGGAGAGUUCAGUUGAGAAAGUGAGUUUUGUACAGAAGGGUAUUGAUUUUCUUAGAGAAUCUAAGGUGGGUCUUGAUGGAGGUUACCCUUUACCAAGAUCUUCCAAGCCUGGGAUUUCUGGCUCCCAAGAACUCACUCUUAGCUACCUCUGUGAGAACCCUAAACUGGGUUUUUGUUCUGAGAAGACCCAAACCCUGUUGGAAAAAGUUACUACCUACAAAGGGAAAGAAGUUGUUGAUUCUGAGAACACACAUCAAGAUGAGAAAUGGGUUGAAAGAGAUUUCCUGAAUUUGAGUGAAAGUAAAGGGAUUUCUUCCAAAAGAGAUGUAGAGGAUGAUUUUCAAGAAAGAGAGACUAGUCAUAGGGAGAAAAAGCCAAAGCUUGAGACUUUGAAUCUAUCUCUAGCUUUACCCGAUGUCUCUCUCUCUCUAACUGCAUCGAAUGCUUUGCAAAAUGGUGAUCCUUCGCAACAUCGGUCUAGGCCUAGUAGGAGUGUACAGUCCUUGGCACCAUCAACCAAUAACACGCAAACCACUUGCUCUAAUGAUUUCACUGCUGCUUCAUUGUCAUACUCUUAUUCUGUGCCGUAUUCACACAAUCCUAGCUGCUCCUUAACACGGAAUUCUACUGAGAAUUAUGAGUAUUCUGUGGGGAAAGAUGAUCAAAUUUGGUGUGGUGGUGAAGGUACUAAUGGAUCCGUGCAUAGUCGUUUUAGGCCAAUUGGUGAUGGAGUUGCUUUGGCCGGUGCCGGUGCUGGUGCUGGGUUUUCCAUGAUGCAGGUUAACCGUCAUGUGAAUAAAGAUUCAUGCACUAGUCUUCAUAGGACUUCUAGUUCAGAUAAUCAUUCAUUUUUCCCAUCUGAAUUGCUUGCUAAGCCUCGCAUAGAUAAUCAUUCAGGGGAUUCAAGGAGAAAGGAUUCAGAGAAUUGGAGAGUUUUGGAGAGUAUGGAUGGAGGGAGAUCCAGGAAGAUUUCUAGACCGGAAAAAAUUCUUCUUGAGAUUGUGUCUGAGUCGAUUCCUGCCAUGGCUCAAAUAAUGCAGGAGCUGCCUGAAGAAACCCUCGAAUCAACCAAAGAAUACUUGAGGAAUCUUAUUGGAACCCCAGAGAGGAAGGAAGAAUUAGUUGGACUUCAAAGUCGACUUGAGAGGAGAUCUGAUCUUAGCAAGGAGACUCUCUCAAAGUGCCAUAAGGAUCAGCUAGCAAUCUUAGUUGCAGUGAAAAUGGGCCUGAAAAGCUUCUUGUCCGGGAAAGUAGGACUUCCCAUGACCGAGCUGCUGGAGAUUUUCUUGUUUAUGAGAUGUAGGAAUCUGACUUGCAAGAGUGUACUACCUGUUGAUGACUGUGAUUGCAAGAUAUGCUCAGGAAAUAAAGGGUUUUGCAGUUCUUGUAUGUGUCCUAUUUGCUUGAAUUUCGAUUGUGCUAACAAUACUUGCAGUUGGGUUGGUUGCGAUGUUUGUUCCCAUUGGUGCCAUGCUGCCUGUGGCAUUCAGAGGAAUCUUAUAAAACCAGGACCCAGCAUAAAGGGACCAUCUGGGGCUAUGCAAUUCCAUUGUAUUGGCUGUGGCCAUGCUUCAGAAAUGUUUGGGUUUGUUAAGGAUGUAUUUUUAUACUGUGCUAAGAACUGGGUUCUUGAGACAUUGACAAAGGAGCUAGACUGCGUGCGAAAGAUUUUCCGGGGCAGUGAUGAUUCGAAGGACAAGGAACUAUACGUCAAAGCUGAUGAGCUUUGCAACCGGCUGCAAAACAAAAUGAUGUCUGCUUCAGAUGCUUGCAGCAUCAUUAUCCAGUUCUUCAACUGUAUGUAUCUUUUGUUCUGUCUAUAUUUUCUGUGCAAACUAAUUCCACGAAUACGGAUAUAGUUCAUCACAAAUUCAUUAUAACUAGUCAAACCUGAGAGUUCAGUGCUUUUGAUGAUUGAGAAAACUGAUCAGCAAAACAAAGUUCUUAUGCUACAAGAAGGAUGCCUGUCUUUUGUUGUUUAAAUUUUAUCUUUGAUUUGGCUGCCUGCAACUCAGAUUUGCACUUUGCUCUUUGAUUAGGACCAUUCAUGAAUUAGUUGAAUAAGCAUAGUCUUGUUUAUGGUUUACCGGUUCCUUUGAACUUAAUUCUUUUGUUCUAUAAACAUCCAUCUUAGUAGGCAUCCGUGUUGUAGUUUUCCGUCACGGAGUUAGUUAUAUUGCUGACAAGUCCAGUGAUUAAUUUUCAUGCAUCACUCAUUUUAUGAUAUUCAAGUCCCAACUAAUUCUACCUCAUUUUCCUUUUUGGUCCGCACAUAUAGACUCUGAUGGUUUGUCAGACUUUCCUACCUCCGGUGCAUGUUCCAAAGAGUUAACAACAACUCAAGUUGACCUUCGAAAAGAUGAAUCAUCCGUGACACCAGGCGCUUCUCUUCCUCAGAAGCUCGUGUUUUACAGCACAAGCUCAGCAAGUGGGCAUGAUUUACUUCCGAACGAACACCAUCGGAAGGACCUCAAAGCUUCUCUCAUGAAUGACCUAAAGAGUGAAGAUGAAUACCGAUUUGGAAGGUCAUCAAACAAUGAUGGAUUUGACAGCUUAGAAAGCAUGGUAAGAAUUAAGGAAGCAGAAGCAAUAUUGUUCCAAAGCAAGGCCGAUGAAGCACGGAGAGAAGUGGAGAGUUACAUGAGGAUGAUCCGGGCCAAGUCCGAAAAGUUGGAAGAGGAAUAUGCUGAGAAGCUAUCCCGACUUUGCUUACAGGAGACGGAGGAAAGGCGAAGGAAUAAAAUGGAAGAACUUAAGGUUUUGGAACAUUCACAGUGUGAUUACUACAAAAUGAAACUAAGAAUGCAAGCAGAGAUUGCCAGUUUGUUGGAGAGAAUGGAAGCUACAAAGCAGCAAUGGGUUUAACUCUUUUCUUUUUUGUUUGUUUUCUUCUUUUUCUUAAUUUAUUGGUUAACAAUUAAUUAAUGCAAAACGUGUGGUUUGUUCCAAGUUUUUAACCUUCUGGAUUCUACUUGUUCCCCCCCAAUGAGAAAUGAAUGAUUGUACUGAGUUGUGAAAAAUUCUUUUAAUGGUAAACCUUCAUAGCCAUUGAAAAUUGAGAGUUGAAUGGGUAUCAAAAUUGUAAUGCUUGUUGCUAUCGCAAUAUAGAAUAAUCACGUUUGUGCUGUUCAUGCCAAUCUGCUCCCUAUGCAUAUACUAUAUAAUAUUUCCAUGGCACCAAGAAAAAAGAAAGUGAUUGGUUCCCUAGAAAAUGUGUUGUAUGGAUUGGAGAAUAAAGGUGAAAGGCGGCAUCAACAGGUGACGCCCACAAAUUACGAGAAUUUGGGACCAUUGAAAUUUUGAAUUGAAAAUGCGUAAAGAUCAUCACCAUUUUCUUUUCUGGUUUGUAAAACCGGUUUUCCUGUCUGGACUUUCACUUUGAAAUUUGAGCUCAAUGGACCCUACUGCACCCACUUGUGGAGCCACCCAUUAAAAGCCGUGAACCUAGACAUCAUAAUUUACAUAAUAUAUUUUUCCUUUAAUAUAUUUGAUGGGGACUCCUCCCACUGGGUUUUUGCUAACCAGUGUUCGUAUAACUUUAAUGUUCCAAAAUCAUCAAUUAUUGCAUUUAACAUAGAUGAUCAUUUAGAGAGGGAGAAAGUAAAUUCUUGGGGGAAGGAGGGUUUGAUAUUCUUUUUGACAGAGAAGAGAGGGCUGGGAGGGUGGUGUUUGGGUGUAAUCAUUGAGCAGCAACUGGCAAUUUUGCUUUGACUCUUCCACUGUAGGAAAAUUCCAAGCUGUAUGCAAAGCCCAUACUGCUAUACCCUUCAACAACCGUCUAUGCAUUUGAGCGGCAGAGGGUAGUCUUUCCUGCGACGGAACUGGUUGGCAAAUAAAGCAAAGCACAUGCCCUCUAUUGCAAUGUGAAUCAUGGAUGCUCGCCAUUCUUCCCUGGCAUUGCAGUUGGUGCACAAUCCAUUUGAGUACAUGUGAAUAUGGUGGACUAAAUUUAAAAAAGGAAAAAGAAAAGAGAAGAGUGAUGUUUGUAAUGGAAGAAUGGCAAGCUCCAGUCAGAGAAAGAAAUAAGUGAUAACAGCAAUGCUAGAUCAUCAUUCAACGAUGUGCACAAACAAAUGCUGUUUAUCUAUUUUGUAUUUGCAGGGUGAAUUUAACAGAGCAUUUCAAUCAGAUUUCUAUGGGGGAGAAUUGAUGGAAGCAGAAUGGUGCAGUGACAGGAAGCAAGGAGCAAGGAGCAAGGAAAGAAGAAGAAUGGUGGAAACAGGGAGUAGCAUGGAGGGUUAUCAGGGAAACGGGGAGUAGCAUGGAAACAGGGAGUUGAUUUCUUGAUGUGUAAUUUGAUCUUCAUGAUUUUAACUCUUAAAAUGUGCUCGAAUGUUUUACUCGGUGGUUAAAGGUUAUUCAUCUAUAAAAUUAUAUUUUUAUUAUCGUAAAAUAUAUAAUUUAAUUUUAAUCCUAAAAAUUUUUUAAGCUCCGCCACUGAUAACAUACAAAAUCAUUUUUAUAAUUUAAGUCCAAUUUUAUUAAAUUUAAUAUUGCAAAUUUAUUGUUUAAUGUUUUAAUUUAUCAAACAAUAUCGUUUAUAAAUGAUUAAAAAUGUUCAUGAAUCAUGUGAGCUAAGUUUAUAAACGGUAUUAAUAUAUUUUAUACUUACCCAAAUUUAAUUUAACUCGAAAUAUAGAUAUCAAAUUUUAACAAAGUCCGCCUAUAUUUCUAAUAGUUAAUCCGAACUCAUUUUCAAAUCCCUAAUAUUAUUAUUAUUUUUAAAAAUUAUAAAAAAAUAUUAUUAUUUUUAAUUAUAUUAUCAAGAGAGAUGUGAAAGUUUCAUUUGACUAACCGAGUAGAUAGCAAACAGUGAAGAAGUUACAUUAGAAUUUACUUGUUGAGGGGUGAAGGUAGAAAAUUUGUUUAGGGGCUGAAAUUAAAUUUUAUUUUUUAUAAUAGUAAAAAUGUAAUUUUACCAUUUAAAUGGUCUAUAUUUUUGUAAUUUUUAAAGAAUUAAAUCAAAUUUUUAUCAUUUUUAAGAGGGGCUAAAGCACAAUUUUACAUUUAUUACUUUAAAAGACCUAAAUAAAAAAUUCUGAUUUAGGAUUACUGCCCUUGUACCUGUUCCAUUAUUUUCCAUGUCUGAUAUUUCUUGCUGCUAGAAAGCAAUUAAAUUAUUUUUGAAUUAAUUGAAGUUGAAAUUGAAAAUUAAAUUAAGUAGUGGUCGUAAUUUUACGCUACGGGUAAUUAAAUUUAUUUAUUUAUAAACUUUAACAUGGUAAAGUCGUCAUAAUUAAUAUUAUUUUGAAAAUAAAAAACUGGUUAUUAAAUUGAAUAAAUUAUAUGAUCAUUGAUUUAUAGAUUCGAUAACAUACAGAGUUGUACUCAAUACAUAAAUAAGUUUAGUAAACUCAUUUGAAGUGGGAUAUGCGACACACAGUAGGCAACUUAUUGAAUCUGAGAACUUAGUGUGACUUAGUGCGUGCCGCCCACCUUAGAGACUCCGGUGGGAUUUGAUAUUUUCUAUUAAAAUAUUAUUAUUUUGUCUCUUUUUAUUUAAGUAGAACUCUUAUGAAUUUUUCCUCUUAAAAUAUAAUCAUCAUUGAGCAUAGCUAUUCAGUCGGAAAAUAGUGAGAUUUAUUUUUCCCAAAUAAAGUCUAUUUUCGUGAUAGCUCGAAUUAAGCUUCUUGACCAUAGAGAGAAUUAACCUUCCCACCGGAAAGUUAAAAGUCUUUAUUGUGUGAGCAAGUUGUUAAUUAGAGUCCAUUCUCUAAGCAAAUCGAAAGUUCAAGAACAACAGAGAAGGUCGUGUUGGGUGAAAGUCAAAAAUCAAUUAAAAAUUCGUUAAAUUGAAAAUCCAUGUACUAAUUUGAUAAAAUUUAUUGUUAUAAUAAUACAAAAACUUAAAAUUUCAUUGUUUAAACAAACUCGUUUUUUAAACCAAAUUUUCUAAUACUUCUAGCAUAAUUCUAUUGAACACUUGAUGGACUAAAGAUUUUCAACACAAACAAAACCAAAAUCAGUAAAAAAAUCAACCAGAAUCAUUCAUGGAAAGAAAAAAAAAAAAAGGAGCAAAGAGCCUCAUGACAACCUUGCCAUCGGCUGCCACAAGCAUAAACUCAUUUUCAAUCAACCCUUCCUCUCUCCUUCCUUUAAUGAGCACCUUGACAAACACCUCCGCAACCUUCACCUCACUGAAGAAUAAGGGAGUCUAAAAUUGAAGCUAUGCCAGAGAGGAGGAAGGAGAAGGUAAGAAAGAGGGGCUUCAAUCCGUGCUUGGCAUUAUGCAUCAAUUUUAGGUCGAUUUCGGGUUCAGAUUCAUAUUGUUGUGGUGCUUUACUACCACUAAGUUGUUGUUAUAUUAGUUCUGAAUGGAUCUUUGACUUGAAUAUUUUACUAAUUUGAUUUCGAGAAAUACUAAAGAAGCAUGUAACGAUUUAACUUUUUUUAGUUUUGUUUUGUUUUUAAUUUGUUAUUGUACUCUAUUGAAUGAUAAUCUUUUUUAUUUUUCGUACAUAUUAGUUCUUUAACAACGUUUUCGAGAUUUUAUUUUCCUAUAAAUUUUAUAUAAAAUUUCUAAAUAACUUUGAGGGUUUUUUUUAUACUUUUUAUGUAGAAUCAUAGUCAAAAAAGUUGAGGAAUAAAAUUGUUAUUAUAACAACUAAAAAAUGUCGGGUGAUCAAAAAAAUUAUUUUCGUACUUUAAUGAUCAAAUUGUAACUUUUUUAAUUAAAUGACUAAAAUGAAAACUUUUUCUAUUCUAAUGAAUUGUGAUGUAGUGAAUACUUUCUUGCUUGCUUUCUUUUCCUAAAAAUUCUUUAUUCAAAUUGCUUUACUCUUUUUUUUCAAAAGAAAAAAAAGAUAGAUUCCUUGUUCUUUCUUUUGAAUUUGAACUGGAUCGGUGGUAAAAUUACUCAUGUUACUGGUUUACCGUUUAAAUUAAUAAAUUAUUAAAAAUUUUAAAAGGAAUAAAUAAUAAAUUAAAAGAUUCAGUUCGUACCAGUUCUCGAGUUAAUCAGUUCAAAGUCCCUUUUUGAACUAAUACCUCGGUCAAUUCUUCAUCCGAUCGGUCGAUCUAUUCAGUUCGAACAACAUUGAUGACAUAGAGUAAAUUAUUGACAUUGAAUCCAAGUAAAUCAAAACAUUACCUGUAAAAAUAUCAUAGAAGCUCCUGGAUUAAGAGUUAGAUUGCAUUUGGUCCUCUUUAUUUAAAAAAUUGGCAAAUUAGUCAUUGUACGUUAUAUCAAAGAGCAUACUAGUCUUUUCAUUUAAAACUCCAUUCAUUUUUACCUUUAACUGACUACGUGAUUGAAAUAGCGAGUAGGUUGUUCUUUAAGUGGUUUUCAAAUAAUUAUUAAAAAAUUUAUUUAUUUUUAAGAUUUGCAUUGAACUAAUGAUCAGUUUGCUCUUUUUUUUUGUGAAUUACAACAAGACAAAGUCCGAACAACAAAUGCGACUAGUGCAACUCGAAUCUAAGCCACACAUGGGGCCAUGAAUACCCUGAUCAUCAAGCCAUUAAUACAUGGGGUUCAAUCAGUUUGCUCUUUAAUGUAACAUAUAAUGGUUAAUUUAUUCUAUUUUUUUAAUAGAGAAAGUAAAAUACAAUUUAACAUUUAACGCAUACGCCUCAACGAUACUAUUACCAAAUACUAGCAUUUUAAAAAAUAAACUUUUAAAUUAAGAUACCUAACAACCAUUUUGGGUUGAUAAAAUUAUAAACAUGAAUUAUAACAUCAAUCCAAUGUAAAAUUCACCCAAAAAAAAUAAAAAUAAAAAUCACACACACGAUUGAAAAGAAGGAAAGAAAAAAGGGGGUUGAUUAAUUAAAACAGUAAUUGAUCAAACAUAACGGGCAAGAGCAACACUGAGAUCAACAAAUAUGCCGAACAAGAGGAUAGACAGUCCCAAGAAAUUGACCAAACGAGCUUCACGGUUACUGCGCAGUCCAAUGAAGGUAGCUUUCUCCAACAAUCCAGUGAGAGCCGCCGCUAUCGACAUGUAUAGCAAUGUCCGGCCACCGCAUAUGUGCCAUGGAAGCAGGCUUUGUCUUGUUACGUCUGGUUGAGUGAACAUAAAUGUAAUCAACCCUGCUAACCACUGCACCAGCCCCCACAAUAAUCAAAUUUAUGUAACAAUAAUUUAUAUAACUCCCAAAAAGUUUAGGAUAAUAUUAAAGUCUGAAAUUUACCUGCAACACAAACAAAGAAAUGGCGGCGAUACCGAUCCAUGAAUGCAAACUGUAAACGUCUUCAAUGUUGGUCAUAUCGUGGUACUUGAAAACAGCACAAAGUCCCACCACUGCAAGCACAAAUGCCAGAAGCUGAAGUAUCAUAUGGACUACCUUCUGCACCAUGUGUGUCGCUUGUACUGUCUUGUACACCAUCAUUGCUACAUUUUUUUUUUAACAUGAUCAGAAAAAAAAAAAGAUUCAAAAGUUGAUUUUUUUUUCCAUGAUCAGUUUUCCAAUUACCUUCACCAGACAGAAAUAUGAAUCCGCAAAACAUAAGAAACGGGUGAACCUGCAUGCAUGAGAAACAAUGAAAUCAUCUUUUUCAUAAUUACAACAUGUAAAUAUUUGGGUUGGUUUUACUUACAUUGAAAACACGAACAGCAUUGUAAGAAUCAUAUUCGAUACCUCCACGAUAAUGCAGCAACCAAACGAGCAUGAGGGCGAAAGCCAAAAUCCCAAAGACGUGAGCAAAUAUUGUUAGACGAGAAGCUGAACGUUUAUAUGGGGAGACAACUACGUGGUGGUGGGUGGAAUGCAUGGUGAUUAAAACUCAGGGAGUGGGAUUGUUGACAUGAAAGAACAAAGGAUGAAGGCUUAAAUAUAUAAUUAUGUAAUUGAUUCUGCUAAACUGGCAGGGUUUCUUAGAGGAAAACUUUUUCAAAAAUCUACACCUUUGGGAUUGCUUAUUUCAGGGUUUUGGCACUUUGGAUGUAGGAAAACUUUGAGCUUGGGCAAAGCAUCAUCCGUAUUAGUGAAUUAGUUGCAAAAAUUACUAAUUUUAUUACAGCAAAAAGAAUAAAAGGAAAGGGAGUUGUGUAAACUUUCUCGUCCAAGCAAAGGCUAUAGAAGUAGUAACUAAUUAGAGGUUGAACAUGAAAGUUGUGGAUUUAAUCCUAUACUUUAAUUUUAUCAAUUUUAGUUUAUGUACUUUUCGAAUUGAUCAAGUUUAAUUUAUAUAUUCGAAUUUUGAAAUUUUAAUCCCGACUCAAAUAGUAGCAGUUAGAUAUCUAAUCAUGUACUAUAUAUACAAUUAUAGAUUUAGUUCAUAGUCUCCAAUUGAAUCAUUCUAAGUAAUGGUGGAGCCUGUAUUUUUUUGUAGGGGGCUGAAAUUAAAUUAUAUAUUUACGAUAGUAAAAAUAUAAUUUCAUCAUUUUAAUAGCCUAUAUCUUUAUAAUUUUUAAAGGGUUAAAUCAAAUUUUUAUCAUUUUGGGGGGUCAAAGUAUAAUUUUACCAUUACUAAUUUAAAAUUUUAUAAAUUAUAAAGGGUCUAAAUUAAAAUUUUACCAUUUUAAGAGGGACCAUGGCCCCUCUAGGUCUCCACUGCGCUUCGCCACUGAUUCUAAGUCACUAUACCUUUCAAAUUUUGAA
This 78212-nucleotide long non-coding RNA is filed under the name Gossypium barbadense (sea-island cotton). RNAcentral's name for it is "long non-coding RNA (GBAR_LNC022143)". Lineage: Eukaryota; Viridiplantae; Streptophyta; Magnoliopsida; Malvales; Malvaceae. The record is from RNAcentral.